This 49670-nucleotide long non-coding RNA is filed under the name Lactuca sativa (garden lettuce). Its description in RNAcentral is "long non-coding RNA (LSAT_LNC001554)". Lineage: Eukaryota; Viridiplantae; Streptophyta; Magnoliopsida; Asterales; Asteraceae. The record is from RNAcentral.
GAAGUUCCAUCGAACUUCCUCUUUUCACCAACCUCUAUCCUCUCCAGACCCUUUUCCUUCUGUUGGGCCUUCACAUUCUUAGCUGCUCGAACAGUUGUUUUCAGAGUAGUUGCCAUCUUGACUGUCGGGCCAAAGUCGGCAGGCACUCCAUUAGCGAACCUCUCAAUCUUGGAGAGUUCUGUUGGCACUAGGUACGGAAAUAACUUCAUUUUCUUAGUUAAUGCAGUAGCAUAGUCAUAUAUGCUUAUCCUCCCCUUCUUCAAGUUUUGGAACUCAUUUUUCAGAUCAAUCAGAUCUAUCUCUGAACAACAUUGCACCCUUAGUUGUUCCAAGAACUCCUCCCAUGACAUUUCAGAGCUUCUCCUUGUGGCAUAGUAUCUGCUAGCAUCUUCCACCAACUCAAGACUCCAGUCUUCAGUUGUCUAACUGCAAAGACAGUCUUCUGUUUGUUGCUACAGUCGCAACUUUCAAAUACCAUCUCCAUUUCGGAGAUCCAAUCCAUAAUCUCAACAGGCUUUGGGCUUCUAGAAAGACUUGGCGGCUUGGCGGCCAAUAAAUUCUAGUACAUUCGCCCAUCCUUGUUGUUUCUCCUUUCCGGAUCGUUCCUUCGUUCUCCUUGAGUCCCAACUUGACUCAUAAUGUGACUAUUGUUUCCUUCCUCCGAUUGCUCGGGAAUCAGUUUGGGUUCCUCAAUAGGUAUGAUAGGUUCGUCCCUAUUAUCAUGCAACAUCUGUCGCAUUUCAUCCCUUUGUUUGGCUAACAUAGCCCGAAUCAUGGCUUUCACCCCCGCCAUCGUUAUUGGUUAUGGUGCUGUUGCUACAACAAGUAUUUGCUGAAUCACUGGUGGUUGAUUCCUUUUUUCAUCCGCGUUUCCAACGCCACUCCUUGUUCUUACCAUUUUUGAUCUACACACCAAAUAAGGUGAAAUUAGAUCCUCAUCCCAUGAUAGAUAAUUAAAUCAUCCUUAUCACUCUGAAAUGUUUACAUGCUAGUUCUAAUACCUUAGACGUACGCUUAGAAUCCUACACACAUAAGGUUUCCAGAUUCAGUCGGCAACAGACCAUAGAUCCGAACAAAUAAUAUAAUAUAUGGCAACAUAUAACAUUUAGCACAUAAAAGCAUUUUAGGCAGCUUCCUAAAAUAUACUAGUGCUCGUGUCUAUAAUAUAUUAGACACACAUCUCACAAUCUCCACUUAGCAUUCUAAGUUUAAUUCUAGAAAUCCUACAAAUUCCUAGUUCGCUUAAACUAAUGCUCUGAUACCAACUGUGACAUCCCCAAAAUCACGGCCAGAAAAAACUGAUUUCAUUUAUGCUUUUUAAAAUAAUUUCAGUGUAAAUCCUUUUGAUUUAAAAGAGUUGCGGAAUUUGUUCCCAAAACAAAAUAUGAUAAAAUAAUAUUUAUCAAAGCAUUUAAUCAAGAGAUGCAUUUUCAUUAUAUAAUCAAAACUCGGGAUGUCAUGUUCCGAUACAGACCAUAAAGCAUAAACGAUAACAUUACAAAUCAUUCAACAAAUAUGUAGAUAUACAGACUUGUAAACAAAACAACUUGAUGAUUCAACCAUCUUAUGCCCUCGCGCCACUACUUGUAAUACGAAUAAUCUGAGUGGGUCAGGCUUGGGAUCCUGGUGAGCAUAAAGGGUUUUCAACCCACAAUAAAUAAUUAUAUUUAAUUUCACCAACCAACAAUAACCCGAUUACCCAUUCCCAUUAUCCUCACUUUAUUUUCCUAAAACAACAUCUAUCUCAAGGGACCUAAUCUAGGAUUUUCAUCGGGACAGACAUUACUGCUAAGGGGUUUCCUCAACAAUAGAUAUCCUAAAGGCAACCAUGAGGGGGAUAGAGUACACCGGUGAACACAUCGUUCACAACACCUACAGGUUAUGAACCUGCUAGCGUUNGACACCUACAGGUUAUGAACUUGCUAGAUCAACAACAACAACAUCAAGGCCUCUCAUCUGUUUAUCACACAUCAACUAUCUACCCAUGUUCUACCCAACAUAUUAGUAGAUAAAAAUAUACAUUUUUAUACAUAGUUUAAAACCUGUAUAGCAUUCUCAUUCAAUACAUAUUCCACAUAACAGAUGAGGCACACCCACAUAACACGUAUUUCAUAGAGAAUAAAUCAGAUCUAUGAGAUAGAAGAAAGUGAAUAUACAUUCACACAUAUAACAACAAAAUAUACACAUAACCCGUAUAUCGCAUAAAAUACUUCAUAGUUACACGUUAGAAGAAAGUAACUACACACGCACUUGAUUAGAAGAUGAUCAGACAGCACUACGACUUGCAGAAGUAGUAUUCUUCAGUAGAUCUGGAAGAUCUUCACAAAAACCGGGCUUCUCGCGAGCAGAGCUUCGGCUCGGGAAUUGCACUUCUCGGGAUCUUCAGGGCUUCGGGACUUGCUUCGGGGCUCGGGAUUGUUACCGGUGCUUCGGGGGUACUUCUUUGAACGUAAAUCGAUGCAAUAUAGGUGAGAGAUGAGAGAAUGAGCAACCAAACUCGGCUGGCCCUUCAAAUCUAUUUAUAGGGCAAAACUGGCCCUUGCCACGUCGUGGCACCUUUUUCGACGUCGUGGGAUUGGUCGUCACUGCAUGCGUCAUCUCAAGUUGCAUCUGGGGGACUCCCGGAGGUGUCAGAAGACUGUGCACAUCGUGGCACUGCUUGCCACAUCGUGGUAUCUGACAGUUUUGGGGUUUCGCGCCCCGAACUUCAGAAAUUCAUAACUUUCGCAUACGAACUCCAUUUUCGACGUUCUUUAUAUCGACGUGAAGGUGAGAUUAUGCUCUACAGCUCUCGUUUAGAUUCCAUUGGCAAAUUUUGAAUUGAUUUUUAAUAUAUUAUAAGUAUAUUACGUAUAUAUUAUUUUUAGUAGGCCGGGACAGGAAAAUUCUGUUCGAAAUUCAUAACUCCUUCAUCUGAACACCGUUUUCGUCUGUCUUUUUAUCGUUGGACUACUAUCAAUGAAAUCUUCAAUUCUAAUUUAGAAAAUUUUGGUUAAAUAACACUCGAUCUCUAUUUCGAGUAUUCGGGCUGCAUACCGCUUAGUCGAAACUUCGAAAAAUCAUAACUUCCUCAUACGAAGUCAGAUUUGGGCGUUCUUUACAUGCACGCUCUCGGUUAAAGGAACUCUACAACAUUUGUUUAGAUCACUAAGGCUAGAUAUCACACUAACAUAAAUUUCACUUUUUACGUCAUUCAGCGUUGCCGGUUCUGUCGCGAAACUUCGACAGGUCAUAACUUCUUCGUUAUAACUCGGAUUUCAGCAUUCUUUAUAUAUUCAUAAACCUCGUUUCAACUACUACAACAUUAUCCAUACAUAUCGUCUUUAUCUAACAUUUCAUUUUGACGCUUAUUUUUAUUCUUAAUCAAGCUAAGACACACAAUUAAGCACAUAACACAUAAUACUCAAAUAAUACACUUCUAUUAUUUCAAAACGGGUUACAAAGGUUAACCUGGACUACUAUAUCAAUAUUAAUGACGAGCCUGGAAACACAGGCGUUACAAUUAAACCGUGAGAGUAAAUAAAAAGAACGUCCAAAUCUGACUUCGUAUGAGGAAGUUAUGAUUUUUCCAAGAUCCGGAUAUAGCAGUAGACAGCUAAAAACUUGAAAUAGAGAUCGAGAGACUUUUGGCCGAAAAAACCUAAAUAAGAAUCAAAGGUCUCAACAAUAGUAGCGCAGCGGUGAAAAGUCUGACGAAAACGGACAUCGGAUGAAGAAGUUAUGGAUUUUUAACGGACUUUUCGUGUCCCGGCCCGUUAAAAAUAAAUAAUUAAAAAUAAACUCAAAGUUAGCUGACAAAGUUUAAACGAGAGUUGUAGAUCAUAUUUUCAGCUAUGCGUGCAUAUAAAGAACGUCGAAAACGGAGCUCGUACGUGAAAGUUAUGGAUUUUACAAGUUGGGGUCCAAAAUCCGAGGCUAUCAGGUCUGCCACGACGUGGCAUAGUUUUCCGCGACCAGACAAGUGACUGAGGGCGUCUAAUCAACAGAAGGAGAUAAGAUUUGACCACCACGACGUGGCCAACCAUUUUCCACGACGUGGCACCCAAAAAUCCACCCCUAUAAAUAGAACUCUUGGGGUGCCAGGUUUAGGUGCUCCAUUCUUUUAUCUCUCGUGCUGAAACUCUGCGGUUAAGCUCCCGAAGCCCCGAUUUUGACACUCAAGUUCCACAGGAAUAUUCUAUACUCCCGAGAUUCCAGAGAUUCCCGAGAAUCUCGAGAAAAUCAACUCUUACAAGUCGAAGUUCUGCUCGAUUGUCUUCUCGCUUUCUCCAAUCAAUCAGGUGAGUUCAUACCCAUAUAAACUACACUUUCAAAUGUUUUAUCAAUGCUUUUUAUACAAUUUUAAGGGGGGGGGGGAUUUACAAGUAAACACACGAUUAUUAUCGUGCGUAACCCAAGGUUUCACUAAAUACUCAUGUUUAUCAAUUAAAUCAUAUGUGAUUCAUAACCACUAUAUGGAAUGCUUCGUACGCAAAAUAUCAUGAUAUUAUGUUAUCUGUUGAUAUUAAAUAUGUUGUUAUACGUAUACAAAUCAAACACUUUAUUUAUACUUUAAGUAUAUGUGAUCAUUUAUGUCACUUUAAAUGUUAUACUUUAUAUAACAAGUGAGCAUUACACUAGGGUUUACUGUAUGAACAAAACACACUCUUUGAAAACCUAUAAUAGAUAUAGUUUACGAGAAAAUCAUGAACAUUUACAUACUAGAAACAGUAUAUCAAAGAGAUAUUUUCAUACACAAGAACAAAUGGACAUUUUCAUACGUAAAUCUGUUUUAUACUAAGUUUUGUGAGACAUUUCACGUACUUUCGAGUAUGCAUUUUAAGUCCUGUAUUAUAUACCAUAAUCCCUUGUAGAGGGAAUGUGAUACAUGUGUAUAGAUCUAUACGGGAUUAACAAUCCCGCACCUAAGUUGUUAGCUACAGCUAGGCCGGCAUGCCUGGGGUGACAAACGUCAUAACUUUCCAACGCCUGAAGAACGUUUUUAUAGGCAUCCUGGUCAAAUAGUAUGGUUAUAAGACUCACAUGGAGUAUUAAAAACACAUUUAUUUACGGGGUUUUUCAAAUUCCUUAACGAUUUAUACAUAAACCUACUAUUUUAGGCAUGAAAAGCACUAUUGCAUCACAGUUUAGGAACAAUUAAACUACCAUCUACUAUAACAUGAAAUACGGGAUUUUCUAGGGACAUUUAAACAUGUACAAACCAUUUUCAUUAUAUUUCAUACAAACAUGGUCACUAAAUACUUAUGAACUCACCAUCUUAAAUGUUGACCUACUCUUUUCAAAACCACUUGUAUUUCUCAGGGAUUCAGUAAUACAGGUAAACUAUAGCUUUUGAAGAAGGGACACUACGGCGUUAGUUUAAUUUCAUUUUGACAUCAUAAUUUGUUUUUGAAACAAGUACCUUUCAACAAUGUAAGCUUUUAAAUUAUAUAUAUGAUGGUUGUAUUACUUUCUUUACUAUGUAUUCAACUUUUUCCAUACUACAUGAAGUCUUCCGCCCUCGAACGAUUCUAUCAUUCCGGUUUGGGGGUGUCACACAAGAGCACAAUAAUACAUUUGGUCAUUGAUUACGAAAGGAGGUAUAUUGUUUUCAUAUAUGUUGUGUUCUUUGUUAUGUAUUUCUUUAUAUCUUAAAUUUAUAAUCUAAUUACUAUUCAGGUAGAGAAAGUAUAAGAGAGACAAUGACAAGGAUUUCACAUGGACCCAAUAAGAACAUUAUUAAAUACGAUGUAUAUGCUAUUAAUGGAUGUACUUUUCAUACAAAAGCUCGUGAAGGUAAAGUUUACCAAAACAAUGGGGUUAGUGUCAUUGGAAUUGACACACACAUCAGUAAAGAAGUUGUAACAUAUGCCAAAAACACUUAUUCGAAACUAACAGCUUCUACAACUCGUCGAGUUUGCUCGGGACCAAAUAACUCACCCAUUAAGCCGAUAUAUUCGAAACUAACAACUUCUACAACCCAUAUCUUAACUGAAAUGGCCUUCAAAAGGAUAAAGUUUUCAUAUUUACCCUUAAGAACCACCAAAAUAGGUUCAAAACCCAAACCCUAAGAUUAAAAGGGAAAGGACUUAAUCAUUAAGCACUUAUUCCACAUGGACACAUCUCCAAGAUGUAGAUCUGACCAUAUGAGGCUAGAUAGCCAUUCAAAGUUUCCAACUUUACACUUAUUCAUGCUUAGAAGAAGCUUAAAAGCUUAAAAGUGACCAAAAGAAGGACUUAAUGAAUGCAUGAAGCCUUAGGACCACAAAGUUAGCACCUUUUUGCCAAAAGAGCUCAUAAAGAUUAUAGAUCUGAAAGAAUAAGCACUUGGGACAUCUAUUUCCCCAACAAUCACCCAUCCAUGGCUAAAAGCAUGAAAUUUAUCCAAGUAAGAGAUCUACUCAAAUGAUAAGAAAUGUUAGAACUUUAUACCCAAGAAGUGCUGAAAAAUGGAGCAGAGAAUCAAUACCUGUGAGCUCUUUCUUGAACCACGACCUUGCACCAAGCUUCUCCUCCUUGAAUGAGCUUCAAACACACACCAAACCACUCAUAAUGGAACCACAACACUCUUAGAGGCACUAGGGUUUCAAGAUUAGGGUUAGGGGGUAUGGAGGCUGGAAAUGAGACCAACACCUAGAACUUAAGGUGUUUAGAUACAGUGCAAAACCCCCCAAAAUUAGGGUUUACUAAACAGCGCCCAACUCUUAGAGUUGGCUCCUCUAACUCGCCGAGGUGACUCAUAAAUCUCGUGACCAAAUUAACCUCUACUUGUCGAGCCGAGUCAUCGAGUAGACCCCUUAAAUCCUCACGGUUCAUCAUCUUCAACUCGUUAAGUUGGCUCCUCCAACUCGCUUGGUUCGACUUCAAAUUGGCAAUAUUUUCACAAUUAACCUUCUAGAUUCUAGGUGUUACAACCCUCCCCCACUUAAAUUAGAUUUUGUCCUUGAAAUCACUCCUUAUUAACAUUCAUAACAAAACAACCAACCUGACGAUUAUAAACAAAAUUCUGCACACAAAAAUAAUCUUCCCAAGGCAACCGAAACCCAAAACGAAACUUUUAACCCGAAAAUAACAUCCAACCCUUCAGCCCUUGCAAACACUUUCACCUUUGUAGGACUAGAAUCCAUAAUGGUCUAUCACCCCGGCAGACCACUCAUGCUGAAACAACUCCAUGCCCAAUUCUCAAUUAAUAACUGACCCAUCAUAAUACUUCCAAUUCUGAACAUACCACUUCCAAUGUGCAAUCUUCAUGGUUGUGACCCUUCUAUCCACCCCUAUCGUACUUAGAUUUGCUGUGCACAUUCUCACGCGCUCCUUCAUCCUUCGUGUAACCACCAAGACCCCUCAGGUCUCUAAAACCAGCUAUGGUAGCGUCCAAUUACUCAGAUCGUCGAGCAUGCCUAAAAGUCUGCUUCCUCUUUCCCAGCUGCCUAUCUAACCUAAUCUCCUACUCCCAGUUUACCCCGACAACCCAAUCAUCCUCUUGAAUAACUGUGGUCUACCCCUCGAACCUGGCAAUCACUGUAUUUGUGACACGCCUGAUGAUGUCGGGUAAUUCCUUGCGUAGGGCUCGCGAAAACUCCGCGGCAAUCCAAUCAUGUGGUUGACUCUCCUGAAGACAUGGUGCACAACUCACCUCCGAUCCGAAACGACAAGAGCUAUCAAUAUGAUUCUCCUUCCUAAAGGUUCUCAAAUUCUCCAAGACUUUCACUAAUUCGAGUAUGGAUCAUGUGCUUUCAGUAAUACGAGCCCAAUACUACCUUCCACACCUAUCCAUACUUUCCUCAACAAUCCUCCUAAAUCCUCUGAGUGACCUCCUCAAGCCAAAGCACCAAAACUCACUAAACCGAAUCACUAACCCACUGAAGAAUACCCGAGGCUCUCCUAGAUUACCGACCCCACCCUACCCUCAGCCAGAAGAACUUUCACCAAUGUUGACCAACUACCUCAUAAAUAUAGUCACAUGCAAUAGAGAUCAGAUAAUCCUUCGAGUAAAAGACUCAACCCUUGAACGGUUGGACUUAAACUAGAGUUGCACAAAGCAAGCAACAUUUAGGCAACAUAAAAUCUAACCGGCAUACACUAACUAGGCCUUUCUAUCCACUGAUCUUAAAACCAUACUAACAUGCAAUCUAAAGGCUCAUACAAUCAGGCAUAUGAAGGCAUAUCUCCUGUCACAUAAUAUUGAGUAGAUCCUUAGACCUAAUCUUGCAUGUAAUUCUCAUAAUCAUAUCACAUAUCAUAAUAAACAUGUAUUGGUAUUCCGGGAAUCACUUGCUUGAGCUCGACCAAUUGCAUGCAUCACACCCCUUUCUUCAAUUACAAAUUCCUUUUUAAUUAAAUGUUUAUUUAACAAAAGUUUUCACCAAACCCUCAGUUUGAGACCAGGCACACCGUAGAGUAUGCCCGAAUCCCUCAAACCAAGGCUCUGAUACCAACUAGUAACAGCCCAAAAAUCCAAAGUAAAAAUUUCAUUUUUAUUAUAAUCAAAACACUAUUGUAACUUUGUUAUAAACGUUAAAAAGUAUUUCAGUUAACAUAAUUAUCAGAGUUCAAUCCCAAAAAUCACAUAUUACGAAAAACGGGUGUAUGCGCUGCGAUCAUCCCGAGCUUUUUCAUUUGACAAUUGGAGUACCUGAAACAUAAACUGAAAACUGUAAUCACAAAGCUUAGUGAGUUCCCCGAAUACCACAUACCAUACAUGUCAAAUGAUCCAUAUAUUUCAUACAUAACCAUGAGCCAUACAUAUCAAUCAUUUAUUAUAAUCAACGAGAGUGUUAUGUGUCAACCAUAGCCUAGCAAUUAUGCCACGAGCCACCUCAUGGUCUUUCUUGCCAGGCCGUGGGCCACAACCCUGGGUCUUACAGACAAGUGCCCAUAGCCACCUCCUUGUCUUCCAUGCAAGCAUCACAAAGACAACUAGCAUACAAGCUAUACUACUUAACUAAUUACUUGCCAGAGCUUAGACUCUGGUAUUGCAUACAUUGUGCCAAGAGCCGCCUCCUGCUCUUUCAUACAGUACCAAGGGAUAACCCACGAGUCAUCCUACCAUACAUAAAGCAAAUGCUCCGACAUUGUUGCCUUCAACCCGUAAAAUAGUGAGGAGGCUCAACUCGAAUGCUGAAUCCCACUGCAAUAAAUCCUUAGUUGUUGUCAAGACAACUCCUCGAGCUAACAAUACCAAAAUAUCAUCCAAUUCGCAAUUAGGUCCCAAACCAUGAUCCAUAAUCCAUACUUGGGGUAAAAUGACCAUUUUACGCCUGUCCAAACAAGAUUCAUAACUUAGGCCCAAGCCCUAAAUCCAACAAGAUUCAAAACCAGACAAUCCAUGAAAGCCCACUAAUGGCCCAAUUAUCCAAAUUGGGCCCAAUCUUAUACGAGCUUUAUCCUAAGCCUAUACUUUCCAAUUCAGAUUGCUUCAAACAGCCCUUGGGACAAACUUUAUCAAAGGCAUGAGUCAAAAGUCAAAGUCAACAGCCUAUGUUGACCCAACUCGCCGAAUUUAUCAUUCAACUCACCGAGUUCCUCUGACAACCGCAAAGUCAGGAAGAAACUGAUCCAACUCGCCGAGUUGACCCUCGCCAACUUAGAAUCGGGGAAAACCAAAACAACUCGCCGAGUUGGCUAUCCAACUCACCGAGUUGGCCCGGGACCAAACAACUCAAACCAUUAAGCCAACAUAGUCGAAACAAAUAGCUUCUCCUACCUAGAUUUGAAAUGUAAUGGCCUUAAGAAGGGUAAACUUUCCAACUAUACCCCUAAGAACCACCAAAAUAGGUUCAAAACCCAAACCAUAAGCUUAAAAGGGUAAGGACUUAAUCUUUAAGCACUUAUUUCACAAGGACACAACUCCAAGAUGUAGAUUUGACCAUAAUUUUGGCUAGAUGGCCAUGUAAAGUUUCCAACUUUACACUUAUUCAAGCUUAGAAGAAGCUCAAAACCUUAAAAGAGACCAAAAAAAGGACUUAAUGAAUGCAUGAAGCCCUUAGGACCAUAAAGUUGGCACCUUUAUGCUAAAAGAGCUCAUAAAGGUCAUAGAUUUGAAAGAAUAAGCACUUGGGACCUCUAUUUCACCAACAAUCACCCAUCCAUGGCUAAAAGCAUGAAUUUUAUCCAAAUAAGAGAUCUACUCAAAUGAUAAGCAAGGUUAGAACUAUAUACCCAAGAUGUGCUGGAAAUGCAGCAGAGAAUGAAUAUCUAUGAGAUCCUUCUUGAACCACCACCUUUCACCAAGCUUCUCCACCUUGAAUGAGUUUCAAACACACACCAAAACACACACAAUAGAUCCACAACAUUCUUGGAUUCUCUAGGGUUUCGAGAUUAGGGUUAAGGGCUAUGUAGGUUGCAAAUGAGGCCAUCACCUGGAACUUAAGGAAUUUAAAUAGGGUGAAAACCCCCAAAAUUAGGGUUUCCUAAACAGCACCUAACUCGUCGAGUUGGCUCCUCCAAACAGCUGAGUUGGCUCAUAAAUCUCAUGACCAAAAUAACCUCUACUGGCCGAGUUGAGACUCCUCAAAUCGUCAAGUGGACCCCUUAAAUCCUCACAAUUCAUCAUCUUCAACUCACUGAAUUGGCUCCUCCAACUCAUCGUGUCGACUUGAAAUUGGCAAUAUUUCAAUUAACCUUCUACAUUUCGGUUGUCACACAUAUACCAGGACACUUCCACCUUCAUGUAGCUUAUAACCCAUGAGUGAUCAUAGUAUGUCACAUCGCUCCUACCUAUGUGAGGACCCAAAAAUUUGAGAAUCAACUUACUCUUUGCAUGAUUAAUGAUAAGAACGUUGUAGUUCACGUUCAGAAGGUUUCGCGGAUACAAAGUUAUUAUAAAAUGGAGUUUGUAUGAUAAAGUUAUGGCCAUUCAAAAAGUAUAUAGUUAUUCGAAAAAAUACAGCAAAAAGUCUGAAGGACACCAAGUACCCUUUAAAGGUCGUAGUGUUCCAUCUCUUAAGCAUCAAAAACAUAUUUCAAACGGUAAGAUGCAUACCGAAUAAAGAGGGUCACGUAGCGGGUGCAGAUCUUAACAUGUGACCACGACGGCCAUAGCUAUAUANNNNNNNNNNUGUGUGUGUGUGUGUGUGUGUGUGUGUGUGUGUGUGUUUCCAUAACUUGUUGUACUGACGAUUUCUACAAGCAUUUAUGAAACUUCAUCUAGCCUUUGGAAUCACAUUUUAAUGUUCGUAUAUAGUAAACACGAUAUAGUAUGUAAACUCGUAACACGAUGUUGUUCUGAGAUGACGGAUAAUGUCAUAGGAAAAUAGUUUUUGAAGCGAAAAUCGCAAUUAGAUAGUGAGGGAUGUAAACCCUAGUUUAUAGGAUUGUUAAUUAUAGGAUUGGGCUAUGUACUUACGGAGUUAAGCCGUUUGAUAAUGGUUUUGAGGAGCUUGGUGAAUUGGUAACAAAUAGUUACCUUGGUGUGUUAGUGAUCAAUCAAUAAGGUUCUCUAUAAUAGAUAUGAAAAUAAGCUCCUACGUGUAUUGCAACAAGUUAUGAGGUACUGUGAAUUUGUCCAUAUAGCUUGGAUUGGUUUUGAGUUAAAAGAUAGCGCGAUGCUAGAAGCCAAAUAGGAAGUUAGUCUUCACUAACUAGCCAGGUAAGUACAUGUGGAUUUUCCCAUUUGGGGUACAUGGCAUAUUAGAAAUGUAUUUCAUGAAAGGUUUGAAAAUGAUUUACAAAAUGUUUUAUUGUUGAAAUGGUAAUAAAUACUAGCUAGAGAGUAAAUGGAUUCUUUAUAUAAAGAGUAAGUUACAUGUUUUGAAAGGAAAUUUGAAUAAACGAACUCUUUUAUGAUUAAUGGUUAGCUAGCUAUGAUUUCUUAUACAAAUUAUUGAAAAGGUUUAACAAACCAUAUUUAUAGUUAUAUUAUGUUUAAAUCUUUUACUAUGUAAUGUGAUUAUUAAAUGUGCAUGUGCAUGAGCAUCAAUCACUUAGGCAUGAUUGAGUCAGUUAAGGAAAACUAGUAAUCGUGCAUUAUAUCAGAGAAUUGCAUUGUAUUGGAAAUUUUGUCGCCUUUCCCAAGGUGUCCGCAUGGGGACCAAUGAAAUGUUGCCCAAGUGGUCUGCAUAGGGGCGAGUGUAAUGUUCCCCAAGGAGUCCGUCUGGGGACCAAAGUUUCCUAGGGGUUCUCAUGGGAUCAAAUUACGGGGCCUUACUUGGAUGAUCUGCUCUUUGGUAUUGGUCAACAUUCUAAGUCACUUUAUAUGACUAACCUAAUUGGGGCGGUCCUUAUGGACAUUAGAUUCAAAAGAUAGUUGAGACUCUCAGGAUGGCUCGAGAAGUGUUGCAUUGAGUGACUACAUGCAUAUCAUGCCUUGCAUUUCAUUUAAAAAUACAUGUCAAAUUAAAGUUUUGUCAAGUGGUUUAAUAAUAAUUUUGUGUGUAAACCCAUGUAGCUUACUAAACUAUGAUUGUCCUAUAUAUUUGUUUAAAUGCCAUGUAUUCCAUGUUUUGAGAUAAAACUUAGAAUGUUGAGUUGAGACAAACAGCACAGAGCUAAUGGAUAGAACAUGGGCAUUGCUUCCAUGACGUAAGCAACUUGUAGGUUUACUAUGGUUUAUUGUAUCAGUUGUAAUAACCGAACGAAUAUUUUUACAAAUGUAUUUUUAAAUGAAAUGAGAAAACUUCGGGACCAUAUUUUAUAAAAGGACCCACUGAAAGAAAAUGUUUUAUAAAAAAAAUAGUAUUUUAAUGUGUUACAGAUUGGGUGUUAUAACCUAUCUUGUAAUUGAAACAUUUUGUUAAGCUGCAUAGUGAUAUCAAACUACCUAAAAUUUUCAAAAAUCUUUUGAAUAUCCAAAACCAUGGUCACAUGUACGACGCAUGCAACCUCAGUAGCCUCAAGGAAAUAACCAUUGGACUCAAAGGACAUAACCAUUAUUGUCCAAUAGUUGACCUCUAGUUGCAUUGUCAACAUGAGGUUUAGAGCUUGACCUUUCUUAUCGUACAUGAAAACAUUUCCCAGAUUGUAACAAAUCGUUAUUUCAAACUUAUGUAAUAAUGUAGGUCAAAUUGUAGUUCUUUUUAAUUAAAUAAAGAGAAAUUUUGGCAUACUAUGUAUAUUUACAUAAUUGACCCUCAAAAAUAAAUUAUUAAAUAAUCUCAAUUAGGUUAAACCAAGUGAUAGAGAUUGUAACAAGGUUUCCAAAAAUAUAAAGAACACUAAAAUCCGAGUUAUAACGAAGAAGUUAUGACCAAUCGAAAAUCCGCGACAAAACCGGCAAAACACUGUUCAGUGUAAAAACUGAAUUUUUGAUAAAAGGCUUUCUAGCCUUAACAAUCUAAAUGAAAGUUAUAGUUUUUGUUAAACCGAGAACUUUCAUAAAAAGAACGUCAAAAUUUGACUUCGUAUGAGAAAGUUAUGAUUUUUCGAAGUUUCAGUAUAGCAGUGUACAGCUAAAAACUCGAAAUAAAGAUCGAAUGGUUUUUAGCCAACACAACCUAAACGAGAAUUGAAGGUCUCGUCAUUAUUAGUACAACGAUAAAAAGACAGACAAAAACGGACGUCGUAUGAAAAAGUUAUGAAUUUAUAACGGAUUCACGUCCCGAUCUGUUUAAAAUAAUAAUAUAAAAAAAUAAAUUCAAAAUUUGCCGACGAAGUCUAAACGAAAGUCGUAGAGUAUAAUUUUAGCUACGCGUGCAUAUAAAGAACGUCAAAAACGGAGUUCGUAUGCAAAAGUUAUGAAUUUUACAAGUUUUGGCAAAAAAAUAAAGAAAAAUAGAAAUACCCGGGAAAAUUCGCAUGAACAGUAGCGCCACCUCACCCCUCGCAUGCGAGCCUCCACGUGUCGGCUGCUGAGUGGACCGAAGUCUCGCGUGUCACCUCCUGAUUCGGCCACUUCUGCGGUCCAAUCCCACUCGGACAGCCUCGCAAGGAGACACACCGGGGAUGCUCCUCGCACACGCCUCGCACCACCCUCGGACACCCCUUCGCACGUGGCUUCUUUGCAUUGGACUGAGGGCUAGACCAAUCCGAGCCUACCACCUCCAAACCAAAGCUGCUUCCCUUCACAUAAUGUCAGCCUCGCAUAGCCUCGCACAAGCUUCGGAUCCGAGGCUUCGGCCUAUAUAAGGCAUGCGAGGGUUUCCGGAUUUUUUACACUUUUCACCCCAAAUUUUACUCUCUUUCACUUUUUCCACACCCUUAAGCUUAUAUACAACCCUUAAAGCCCCGGUAUCAAGACUCGAGCCCGAAGUAAGCCGUGAAGCCCCGAAAUUCUCGAGAAUUCAUCCUCUCUCCUGUCAAAACUCUGCCCGAUUUGAGCCGGUUUCUCGACAAAUAAACUCCUUUUCGUGAAACGAAACCCUGUCCGAAUUACCACCUACCAAGUGAGUUCAUACCCCCGUAUUUUCAUAAUUUCUACUGUUUUAAGGGGGGAAAUACAAGUAUAACACAACAACUUUGUGUUAUAAAUAAAUGAUUUCAAAUCACGAUAAAAUGAUUUUAAAGCAUCGAAAAUACUUCAAAUUUUGAACUCUUUUAUAAACUUAUAUUUUUCCCAAAUAUACAUAUUUGUAUAUAUAAUUUAAUAUAAAUAAGAUUUAAAAGGCUUAGGACUAAUAAUUCAUUCUAGGUCCUUUUCCUUGUUUGGAUGUGGACUUAUAGUACCAGUUAUUUGUCCGAAGGUCGUUCAAAUUUUACUUAUUUAUAAAAUUGUAUAUGUAUAUAAAAUUAAAAGUUAUUUCAUCAGUUUAAUCACCCUUUGUAACAUGUUGAGCAAAGGAUUACAUGCAAAAAUAGUUAUUUACCAAUUCAUAAAGUACAUAUAAAUUAUAAUAGGUAUAGUUUAUGAUACAUAGAGCAAUAAUUCAUAUGAAUACAUUGUUUUACAUGCAACAAGGGUUUUAACUCAAAACAAAUCAAGGGUUUACACUUAUCAAAUACAUGUUCGGGAUACUAAGUCAAGAACAUAAUGUCAAUCAUUUAUCUCAGAAUGAUUGGGUUUUCAUAACUAAUAUACAUGUAACGUUUAUAUGCUUUUUAUGAGACAUUCAAUUCAGGUUGUUUAGAUUCAGUCUAGACAACCAAGGUAAAGCCCUGACAUUAUAACCAGAAUCUCCAGUCCGGGGAUCGAAACAAGUUGUGUGUAGAUCUAUAUCGGGAUUGACAACCCCGCACUCAGGCUGCUAGCUACAGUCAGGCAUACAUGCCAAUGAGUGGCAAUUGUUAUCAACAGUUUAAGCGCUCAUCAGGCGUUUGUUUCAGGCGUUCAUGUCUUAGUAUGGUUAUAAUAACUCAUUAAAAAGAUAUUAACAACACGUUAGUGUAUAAACAACUAAACGUAAGUAUAUCUUCAAAGUACCAGUUUACAAAAUGCAAAGUACAAUGCUAUACUAUAGUUUUCAAUAACAGCUGGUGAAGCCAGGCACACUCUCAAAUACAAGUUUUACAAAUACAAUGGUUUACAAAUAAGACGGUUUUAUAGGAAUAAAACUACUUUUCACAUACCACAGAAAAUAUGGGAUUUUCUAGAAGUGUUUUCAUAUUCAAAAUACAAAUACACCCAUUCAAAACAUAAAGACUUAUGUACUCACUCAACUUAUUGUUGAUACUCUCUUUUCAAAUUACUUGUAUUAUCAGGGAAAUAAUAACAGGUACUCCCCGAGCUUUUUGAGAAGAUGAAGCCAUUAGGAGUCUUAUCUUCUUCCUUUGUAUAACUGUUUUGGUUUCAAUAUACAAUGAUUGAACACAUGUAAAUAUUACACUUUUAAAUACAAUGGUUGUUUGUACUUUGAUUACUAUGAUGCAUGUGUUGUGAUACUACAAAUGAAAUCCUCCACCCCCGGACGUUUCCGCCGUCUGGUUUGGGGGUGUGACAGAUUGGUAUCAGAGCAUUGUUUAUAGUGAACUCAGUAUAUCAAUCCAUAAAAGAUAUACAAACUAUAAAUACAUUGGGGCUAAGAGCUCUGACUACAAGUAUACUUUUAAGAAUUUUAAGUAUUUUUACAAGAAGUAUACUAACCCUCAUCCCUACAAGUACAUAGUCAUAAGAACUUAAAAGUAUUUGGAUGUUAAACAUUACAGUUAAACCCGAGCAGUUAUGUAAUCAUGUCUAGAAUUAAUAUAGCCUGAUCAACUAUAUUGAUUUCAGACAUGACCAACAUGUGUUUGGGAGUGAUAGUAGUGUUGUGACGUAUCUAAAACUUACCAACUACCAAAGAAACUCUAAGAACAGAACAUAAAAUACUAUAAGAAUAUUAUAAACAUCGAUAUGCUUUAGUUUUCUUUUCAAGCAUUUCUCAUAACCUUAUUCUCGUACAGACACAAUGGCAGGACAUCAUCCACCAGGGGACCCUUAUUUUCCAAAUCAUGGCAAUCAGGAAUGGAUAGUGGAAGAUCCAGAAGAAGACUCAGAUGAAGAACCAUUUGAGGACAGCGAGUCAAGCGGUACCGAUACAGAGCCACAAGUCUGCAACCCGGGGAUACGUCCCCCGAGACAAGAGGAAGCAAUACCUAUACCCGAGUGGGGCCAAUACAUAAACCAUUGGAGUCGACAAGACGGCCAACGCCCUCCCUACGGAAUGCAACAGGGUUUCUAUAACGUCUCAGAAGGAGGAGCAGCUGACAGAGCUCUUCCAGUUAUAGUGAAUCGAAUUGCCCGACAAUUCGAUCAAUCAAGGAUGUCAAUCAAUCGUAUCCUAGAAGUGAAUGCGGCUGCACAGGCUAACGCUGCCGAUAUCCUUCGUCUUGACGAGAUGCAAGAUGAUACCCAACACCAUACUGAAGCCCUUCAAAGGCAACUUAAUGCUGCCGAAUCAGAGAUCAGAGGACUGAGGGAGCAUCAAGCUGCCCAAGAAAGGCGCUGGAAAUCACAAGACGAAGCGGAACCCAGUAACCGUCGUAGCAACCGUCGCAAGUAGUGUUUACACUACUUUUCUAGUUUAAUAUACUGAAUGUAUAGACUACUUUCAGGACAUGUACAAAAUUAAGCAUCAAUAAAAUAAUAAGCACCUUACUUCAACAAGAGCUAUUACAAUUUUCACAAACAUUCCGUUCCAAAGUUUUGGGAUUAAGGAUAUGUACCAGUGUUGUUUUUCAUAGUUUUCGAUACGGCCGCGAAAAAUUUUAUUUUCGGUAGGUCGGUUUAAUGUCGAUACUUUCAUAGUACUAUGGACCUACUUGAAGGUCAUAUAUACAAAUUACAUAGAUAUCAACACAAUCGACAUGUAUUUAGAUAUUCUUUGAAAAAUAACCACUCCAAUUUAUAUUAUCCUAUUGCAAGUUAUACUUGCAGUGGACAUCUAUUUUCAAUUCUUUACAAGAUUCUUGUUGAAUUAAGUGUUUAAGUUCAGAGAUAUCAAAUUCAUAUUCAUUCUUGAUAUCUCACUAUCUUUUUAUCUAUUGACUUUUAUAGAAAAAGAUGCCUCCUCGUAGGAAUCCUAGACGUAACAAUGAAACGGAAGCACCGGCACCACCUCCACCACCACCCCCUCAAUUGGAUGCUGCCAUGUUCCAAGCGGCAGUCACGGCAGCUGUAGUGGCUGCCUUAUCUCAUAUCAAUGCUGGCGGUACUAGUGGGUCGGGAGCUGAUCCACGUCCUUCUAACCUUGUCGAGGGUCAUGAGCGCUCGAGGGAGUGCACUUAUAAAGACUUCUCGAAUGCCAAACCCAGGACCUUUAAUGGAACUGGAGGAGUGAUGGUUUUAAGGCAGUGGAUUGAGAAGAUAGAAGCAGUCUUUGAAAUCUGCUCCUGUCCAGAGGGUAGCAAAGUUAAAUUUGCUGCCUUUACUUUCUUAGAUAGGGCCCUAACAUGGUGGAAUGGCCAUGUUAAGUCACUAACUUUGGUGGUGGCUAAUACUAUAAGCUGGGAGAACCUAAAAACCAUGCUGAUGCGUGAAUACUGCCCGCGAGGGGAAAUCCAGAAACUGGAACAAGAACUCUGGAGUAUUACUAUGGCCGGUGCCGACAUAACGACUUACACGAAUCGAUUCUGUGACUUGGCGAUUCUGUGUCCGGAUAUGGUUGCUCCAGAGAGCAAAAAGAUUGAAAGGUAUAUUUGGGGACUGUCGCCCCAGAUACAAGCAAGUGUCAUUGCAUCAAAACCUGUCACCUUUGACAGUGCCAAGGAACUGGCACAGUCACUUAUUGACCACGGAAACCGUCAAAACUCUGUGGUUACCGCCCCAGAACAACCUAGGGAGAACAACAACAACAACAACAAGAAGGGUUGGAACAAAAGGAAGGGAAAAUCUCCUCUGGAACCUUCAAAGAAGCAACAAAUAGUGGCAGUCCAUGCUACUACUGUGCCUGCUACCAUACCUACUACUACACCUGUUGUUGCCCCUAACUACUCAGCACCAACUAAGCCCUAUGCCGGUAGCCUCCCCAAAUGCAACAAGUGCAAUUUUCACCACACCGGAAAUUGCCCUGAAAUGCAGUGCCGUAACUGCAACAGGAAAGGGCAUACUGCCCGAUUCUGUAGAACACCGCCUCAACCCCUUAACCAAGUACCUGCCGCUGGAGUAAGUCGAGCAUGCUACCAAUGCGGUGAUGUGGGGCAUUUCAAGAAAGAUUGUCCAAAAGCUGGAAAUGCCGGUGGGGUUGGGAGAAUUCUAGCACUAGGUCACGAAGAAGCGGUGGCAGACCCUGCUGUGGUCACGGGUACGUUCCUUCUCAACAAUACUUAUGCAUGCAUUCUUUUUGAUUGUGGUGCCGAGAGGAGCUUCGUGAGCCAUAACUUUAAACAUCUACUAAAUCAGAACUCCCAACCACUAAAUAAAACCUUCACAGUAGAAAUGGCUAACGGGAAAUCCGAAUCCACCAAUGAUAUAUACAUAGGAUGUACCCUUAUGUUAAAUGACUUGUCUUUCCCAAUAGACCUUAUGCCGGUCUCUAUCAAAAGUUUUGACAUCAUAAUAGGUAUGGAUUGGUUGUGCCCCAACCAUGCCGACAUCCUAUGCUAUGAAAGAGCUAUUCGUUUGAACUUACCAACUAACGAAACUCUUAUUAUCUAUGGCGACAAACCCGGAACGAACCUUCAGAUCAUUUCAUGCAUCAAGGCACAGAAAUACCUUCGCAAGGAGUAUUGUGCAUUCCUAGCUCAUGUGGUAGACAAAAAGCAAGAAGUGAAAGACAUCGCAAGCAUUCCUGAAGUCUGCAACUUUCCCGAUGUAUUUCCCGAUGAUCUUCCAGGAGUGCCUCCCGAACGACAAGUCGAAUUCCGAAUCGACUUAAUCCCUGGAGCUACCCCUGUAGCCAAAUCCCCCUAUCGUCUUGCACCUUCUGAAAUGCAGGAAUUAUCCAGCCAACUUAACGAACUCCUAAGCAAAGGUUUCAUAAGACCGAGCUUCUCACCUUGGGGAGCACCGGUUUUGUUCGUAAAGAAGAAGGAUGGAUCAUUCCGCAUGUGUAUAGACUACCGCGAGCUGAAUAAACUUACCAUUAAGAAUCGAUACCCUCUGCCUCGCAUUGACGAUCUGUUCGACCAACUUCAAGGGGCGAACUACUUCUCGAAGAUAGACUUAAGAUCCGGGUAUCACCAGUUACGAAUUUUGGAGGAAGACGUUCCCAAAACCGCGUUCAGAACUCGUUAUGGUCAUUACGAGUUUAUAGUGAUGCCAUUCGGAUUGACGAAUGCACCUGCAGUGUUCAUGGACCUAAUGAACAGAGUGUGUCGUCCAUUCUUGGACAAAUUCGUUAUAGUCUUCAUUGACGAUAUCCUUAUCUACUCAAAGAGCAAAGAGGAACAUGGCCAGCAUCUUCAUCAAAUAUUACAAACACUUAGGUCGGAGAAGCUCUAUGCGAAGUUUUCAAAGUGUGAAUUUUGGAUCAGGAAGGUAGAUUUCCUAGGUCACGUGGUUAGUUCAGAAGGAAUACAUGUCGACCCUUCCAAAAUAAAGGCAAUUGAAAACUGGUCAGCACCCAAAACACCUACAGAAAUCCGUCAAUUCUUAGGUCUUGCUGGCUAUUAUCGCAGAUUCAUUCAAAAUUUCUCUCGAAUAGCUAAGCCUCUUACUACUCUGACCCAAAAGGGUGUAACCUUUAGUUGGGGAGAAAAGCAAGAAACAGCGUUCCAAUUGCUGAAGCGAGCCUUGUGUAGUGCACCAAUCCUGUCUCUCCCUGAAGGGACAGAGGAUUUCGUAGUGUACUGUGAUGCUUCUAAUCAAGGGCUUGGAUGUGUUCUUAUGCAAAGAGGAAAGGUUAUAUCCUACGCCUCAAGACAGCUAAAGACACAUGAAGUCAACUAUACAACACAUGACCUUGAACUAGGAGCAGUGGUGUUUGCUCUGAAGAUUUGGAGACAUUACUUAUAUGGCACGAAAUGCACAAUAUUCACGGACCAUAAAAGUCUCCAACACAUCUUCGACCAGAAAGAACUGAAUAUGAGACAACGACGAUGGGUGGAGCUACUGAACGAUUACGAGUGUGAAAUUCGUUAUCACCCUGGUAAAGCAAACGUAGUAGCUGACGCCCUUAGUAGAAAAGAAUACUCGGGACGCCGAGUAAAGUCGUUGACCAUGACAAUCCAUUCGCAUCUGUCCACGCAGAUCAAGGAAGCCCAACUUGAAGCCUUGAAACCCAAAAACGUAGCAGGUGAAACUCUAAGAGGAAUGGAUAAGAACUUCGAAGUCAGGGAUGAUGGAGUCUAUUAUUUCAUGAAUCGGAUCUGGACACCAAAGUUUGGUGGUUACAGAGAUGUGGUUAUGAAUGAAGCACACAAAACCCGAUACUCCAUCCACCCAGGUUCAGACAAGAUGUAUUUGGACCUUAAGAAGUUAUAUUGGUGGCCUAACAUGAAGGCCGAAAUCGCUACCUUUGUGGGCAAGUGCCUUACUUGCGCCAAAAUUAAGGUAGAGUACCAGAAACCUUCAGGCUUAUUACAACAACCUGAAAUCCCUGAAUGGAAGUGGGAGCGGAUUACAAUGGAUUUCAUAACCAAGUUACCCAAGACAUCAAGUGGUUAUGAUACUAUUUGGGUAAUCGUCGAUAGAUUAACCAAAUCCGCACACUUCUUACCAAUCAAGGAGACCGACAAGAUGGAAAAGCUAACCAGAACGUACCUCAAGGAGAUUGUUAGAUUACAUGGUGUACCAAUAUCUAUUAUUUCAGACCGAGAUAGUAGAUUCACCUCCCGUUUUUGGCAAUCUUUACAAAACGCUCUGGGAACUAGGCUAGACAUGAGCACAGCCUACCAUCCGCAAACUGAUGGACAAAGUGAAAGGACGAUUCAAACGUUAGAAGAUAUGUUACGAGCUUGCGUGAUAGACUUUGGAAAAGCAUGGGAUAUUCAUUUACCCCUUGCUGAGUUCUCUUAUAACAACAGUUAUCACACUAGCAUAAAAGCUGCUCCAUUCGAAGCCCUCUAUGGUCGCAAGUGCAGAUCCCCUCUGUGCUGGGCUGAAGUGGGUGACACGCAGCUAGCUAGAGGUCAAACUCCUGACAGUGCUCUCACUGGUCCAGAAAUUAUUCGAGAAACUACCGAAAAGAUCGUACAAAUUCGGGAACGACUUAAAGCUUCCAGAGAUAGACAGAAAAGCUACGCAGACAAAAGGAGAAAACCCUUGGAAUUCCAGGUUGGCGACCGAGUUUUGCUAAAGGUCUCACCCUGGAAAGGCAUGAUACGCUUUGGAAAGCGUGACAAACUGAACCCAAGGUAUAUAGGACCAUUCGAGAUUCUUGCCCGAAUCGGCCCUGUAGCUUACAAACUUCGAUUACCCGAAGAACUAAGUAACAUUCAUUCUACCUUCCACGUUUCGAACUUGAAAAAGUGUCUUUCCGACGAGACUCUUGUGAUACCACUCGAGGAAAUCGAGUUAAACGAGAGCCUCAAUUUUGUGGAAGAACCCGUAGAGAUACUAGACAGGGAAGUUAAGAAAACCAAACAAAGCCGCAUCCCGAUAGUGAAGGUUCACUGGAAUGCAAGACGGGGACCUGAAUUCACUUGGGAGCGGGAGGAUCAAAUGCAACAAAAAUACCCACAUCUUUUUCCCUAGUCUAUCUGUAAAGUAAAUUUCGGGACGAAAUUCUCUCUAACGGGGGGAUAAUGUAACAAACCGUUAUUUCAAACUUAUGUAAUAGUGUAGGUCAAAUUGUUCUUCUUUUUAAUUAAAUAAAGAGAAAUUUUGGCAUACUAUGUAUAUUUACAUAAUUGACCCUCAAAAAUAAAUUAUUAAAUAAUCUCAAUUGGGUUGAACCAAGUGAUAGAGAUUGUAACAAGGUUUCCAAAAAUAUAAGGAACACUAAAAUCCGAGUUAUAACGAAGAAGUUAUGACCAAUCGAAAAUCCGCGACAAAACCGGCAAAACAUUGUUCAGUGUAAAAACUGAAUUUUUGAUAAAAGGCUUUCUAGCCUUAACAAUCUAAAUGAAAGUUAUAUUUUUUGUUAAACCGAGAACUUUCAUAAAAGGAACGCCAAAAUCUGACUUCGUAUGAGGAAGUUAUGAUUUUUCGAAGUUUCAGUAUAGCAGUAUACAGCUAAAAACUCGAAAUAAAGAUCGAGUGGUUUUUAGCCGACACAACGUAAACGAGAAUUGAAGGUCUCUUCAUUAUUAGUACAACGAUAAAAAGACAGACAAAAACGGACGUCGUAUGAAAAAGUUAUGAAUUUAUAACGGAUUCACGUCCCGAUCUGUUUAAAAUAAUAAUAUAAAAAAAUAAAUUCAAAAUUUGCUGACGAAGUCUAAGCGAAAGUCGUAGAGUAUAAUUUUAGCUAUGCGUGCAUAUAAAGAACGUCAAAAACGGAGUUCGUAUGCAAAAGUUAUGAAUUUUACAAGUUUUGGCAAAAAAAAUAAAGAAAAAUAGAAAUACCCGGGAAAAUUCGCAUGAACAGUAGCGCCACCUCACCCCUCGCAUGCGAGCCUCCACGUGUCGGCUGCUGAGUGGACCGAAGUCUCGCGUGUCACCUCCUGAUUCGGCCACUUCUGCGGUCCAAUCCCACUCGGACAGCCUCGCAAGGAGACACACCGGGGAUGCUCCUCGCACACGCCUCGCACCACCCUCGGACACCCCUUCGCACGUGGCUUCUUUGCAUUGGACCGAGGGCUAGACCAAUCCGAGCCUACCACCUCCGAACCGAAGCUGCUUCCCUUCGCAGAAUGUCAGCCUCGCAUAGCCUCGCACAAGCUUCGGAUCCGAGGCUUCGGCCUAUAUAAGGCAUGCGAGGGUUUCCGGAUUUUUUACACUUUUCACCCCAAAUUUUACUCUCUUUCACUUUUUCCACACCCUUAAGCUUAUAUACAACCCUUAAAUCCCCGGUAUCAAGACUCGAGCCCGAAGUAAGCCGUGAAGCCCCGAAAUUCUCGAGAAUUCAUCCUCUCUCCUGUCAAAACUCUGCCCGAUUUGAGCCGGUUUCUCGACAAAUAAACUCCUUUUCGUGAAACGAAACCCUGUCCGAAUUACCACCUACCAAGUGAGUUCAUACCCCCGUAUUUUCAUAAUUUCUACUGUUUUAAGGGGGGAAAUACAAGUAUAACACAACAACUUUGUGUUAUAAAUAAAUGAUUUCAAAUCACGAUAAAAUGAUUUUAAAGCAUCGAAAAUACUUCAAAUUUUGAACUCUUUUAUAAACUUAUAUUUUUCCCAAAUAUACAUAUUUGUAUAUAUAAUUUAAUAUAAAUAAGAUUUAAAAGGCUUAGGACUAAUAAUUCAUGCUAGGUCCUUUUCCUUGUUUGGAUGUGGACUUAUAGUACCAGUUAUUUGUCCGAAGGUCGUUCAAAUUUUACUUAUUUAUAAAAUUGUAUAUGUAUAUAAAAUUAAAAGUUAUUUCAUCAGUUUAAUCACCCUUUGUAACAUGUUGAGCAAAGGAUUACAUGCAAAAAUAGUUAUUUACCAAUUCAUAAAGUACAUAUAAAUUAUAAUAGGUAUAGUUUAUGAUACAUAGAGCAAUAAUUCAUAUGAAUACAUUGUUUUACAUGCAACAAGAGUUUUAACUCAAAACAAAUCAAGGGUUUACACUUAUCAAAUACAUGUUCGGGAUACUAAGUCAAGAACAUAAUGUCAAUCAUUUAUCUCAGAAUGAUUGGGUUUUCAUAACUAAUAUACAUGUAACGUUUAUAUGCUUUUUAUGAGACAUUCAAUUCAGGUUGUUUAGAUUCAGUCUAGACAACCAAGGUAAAGCCCUGACAUUAUAACCAGAAUCUCCAGUCCGGGGAUCGAAACAAGUUGUGUGUAGAUCUAUAUCGGGAUUGACAACCCCGCACUCAGGCUGCUAGCUACAGUCAGGCAUACAUGCCAAUGAGUGGCAAUUGUUAUCAACAGUUUAAGCGCUCAUCAGGCGUUUGUUUCAGGCGUUCAUGUCUUAGUAUGGUUAUAAUAACUCAUUAAAAAGAUAUUAACAACACGUUAGUGUAUAAACAACUAAACGUAAGUAUAUCUUCAAAGUACCAGUUUACAAAAUGCAAAGUACAAUGCUAUACUAUAGUUUUCAAUAACAGCUGGUGAAGCCAGGCACACUCUCAAAUACAAGUUUUACAAAUACAAUGGUUUACAAAUAAGAGGGUUUUAUGGGAAUAAAACUACUUUUCACACCCCACAGAAAAUAUGGGGUUUUCUAGGAGUGUUUUCAUAUUCAAAAUACAAAUACACCCAUUCAAACAUAAAGACUUAUGUACUCACUCAACUUAUUGUUGAUACUCUCUUUUCAAAUUACUUGUAUUCUCAGGGAAAUAAUAACAGGUACUCCCCGAGCUUUUUGAGAAGAUGGAGCCAUUAUGAGUCUUAUCUUCUUCUUUUGUAUAACUAGUUUGAUUUCAAUAUACAAUGAUUGAACACAUGUAAAUAUUAUACUUUUAAAUACAAUGGUUGUUUGUACUUUGAUUACUAUGAUGCAUGUGUUGUGAUACUACAAAUGAAGUCCUCCACCCCCGGACGUUUCCGCCGUCUGGUUUGGGGGUGUGACACAGAUUAUGUUGUCAGUCAAGAUAGUUUGAUCCAUUCAAUUUAUUAUUUAAAAGGAUACUUAGUGUUGAGAACUUUGGGUUUUAGGAUUUUGCAUUUCAGUACAUAUAGAAAGUUAUAUGAAAUUUUGAAAGUGAUUUGAUUAUAUUCUUUAUAAAAUCAAUUACCCGGCAUAUUAUGUUAUCAAAGGAGAAGAACCAUAUUUCUGUCCUAAUUGAAAAAAUGUAUGACAUAAUCAAAAGGAAAAGUUACUUAUGUAUGUAACACCCUUUACCAAUCCCAUUCUCUAUGAGACUCUUAGAUCUGUGGGAUUCAAAGGUUCAUGUCAACAUUGGCAUGUUUAAUCCGUAUUUAUGUUUAUCUUAUCUUAUGAUGGGUUUUGUACCGAUCAUAAGCUAAUAUAAUAAAUCAUCCAUUUGAACCAUGCUGGAAGACAUUAUAAUAAGUGUGUAAUACAAAUGGGUAGCAUAAGAUUUAUAUUUUCAAAAUGGGCUUUUUCUUUGUUCAAAUAAAACAGUUUUGAGUAUAUUUCGAAAAAAAUUACCUUUAUUGCACUUUAAAUUAUUCAUAUAUUUUUUUUAUAAAUUAUCUUUUUUUUUCAAAACAUUUGCAUGUCAAAUUUAUUUUUCAAUUUAAACAAGUUUCCUGGUUUCACAGUCCCAGACAAAACAUUAAAUAACACAAAUGACAUUCAAGUAACGCUAAUUAUUGUCUCAUUCCUAUGCAUUUCUCUAGUGAGCCAUCAUAAGAAAAAUCUCAGUCAUUCUAGGGAAAAACAACCACAAUAAUGUAUGGCUCCAGUUGUACUGUCAUUACACCCACUACUCGAAUGGAACUCCAUCAAGACUCGAAUCACUAUAGCCCUUGCUUGGUUCCCUUUGGUCUUUAUUUGUCUAUAAUUACCUUUCUAAAACAUUUUCCUAACUAGUAUAAUUUGUAUUAUAAUUACAAAAGAAAAGUACAUUACAAAUAAAUAAGGAAACAUCAUGCAAGUCACGAUUAAACUAAUCUAAAUAAACUAAACAACUCAAGUCAUCAUAAAUUCGAAACGAUUCAAUAAAUGACUGUAUCCAUAUAAUAACAUGUAACAUUAUUGAAAAGUAUUGUAAUUAAACAAUUUUUGUUAACAUCUUACAUAAAACUAUUUUAAACACAUAAUAUAUAAACAAGCUUCUUAGUUUUUCUUGUAUGAGUUCAUGCCAAAACAUACAACUAAAAUUAUAAUAAAAUCAAAAUAAAAGGGAAACAAAGACGUUGAAUUCAAAACUUAAUCAUUCUUGUCGUAUCGAUAUGUAACUUGAAAGCUUAGUCUAUCCGGAGUAGGAUAUGUAACACCUGAAAUAAGGUAUGUAUCUAUAGACCUUACUUUUUAUUGAAUUGUCAAAUCUAUCCUUUAAUUGACAAAAGGUGGCAAAUAAGUACGUGGGGUAUAUGCGUGUCUACGCUCGGUGUACUCAUGUGCGUAUUAUGGACGCGAAGGCCACCUAGUACGCUGGGCGUACUAGGCUCAGAGUGAAAACCCUAAUUUUGUGGUGUGUCCCUAUUUAAGAAACAUGGUGGCCUCAUUUCCCGCCACCAUUUCCGGUCUUCAACUUCCCUCAAAACACUAAUUUCCGUUUUCUUAGCUUGAGUGGCCAUUUGGAGCUUUUCAGUGAUCUUUGUAGAUUCUUUGGGUGAAAAAGGAGCUUUGAAGAGAGUAGAGUUGGAGUCCAAGCUUUGAAUCUGAGUUUCCUUAUGGUUGGUGCAUCAUUUGGAGGUAUCAAGCUCAAAGCUUUCUCGUUGUUUUGAUUUGUGCAUAUUGUGGUUCAUUUUAGGGUUUAUGUUCCAAAGCUUGAAACUUUAUUAGUUUGUUGAAGUCCAGAAUGUCUCUAGUUGAGUGGCUCAUUAAAAUGGGAUCUUCGACGUCAAGAUCUUCCCAUACAUGAUAUAUGAGAACUACUAUGAGUAAGCAGUGAGAGUUUAGGAGUUUUAGACUUGCUUAGCUAAGCUAAGGCUUAAAGUCAAAAACUUUAUGGAGUAUUAGCCUUAAUUGAGUCCAGAUCUAAGAUUAUAUCUAAGGUCUUAACGGAUUAAGACCAGGAGAGUGGGAAAAAUAAGUCUGGGCCGUACGCUAAGUGUACUCCCAGAUACGACCAGCUUAGCGUCGAAGUUUCCCGAUGCAUGCAUGGUAAAGUAGUACACCCACCGUAAAGGGGUUGUACGGUCUGUGAUAUUGCAGCCAAAUAGAAGGCAUUUUGAAGAAAAGGGACUAAAAGUGACAAAGCAUGGAACUUUGGAGGCUUGAAGACUUAAAAGAAUAAAAGUCCACAAGAAAGCUCAACUCACGACGUGAAUAUUUAGGAUUCACGAUGUGAGUACGAAUGUUCCAGAAGAUCAACAUUGCGGAGGAGGAAUCCUUGUCAAACACGGAUAAUUACGUGCUUACGACGCUUGCGUACAAGCGUGGUGUUGACUUUUAGGGUUUGGUCAAAUUGUGGACUUUGGAGGCCAUGGAAGGGUAAAAUGGUCUUUUAUCCUUUUGAAAAUUAGUAGAGGAUUUAGCCUAACAUCUUUGGGGGUAGUUUAUUAAUUAGAGUUAAUUACGAUAUACGUUAGGCAGAGGCUAGACUGGUGGUUCGAGUACGAGACAUACUUACUUUACUUACGAGGUGAGUCUUCUCAUUAUAAUUACCUGACUGGUAAUACAGUGUGACCGGAGGGUCUUAUAUGCUUAUGAUGAGUUACGUGAUAUUAUGCAUUUGUCUUUGUGAUUCAUGUUGUAUAUUAUUUUGUGCUUUAGUGGUUAGGGCCGGAGGGUCCAACCCGAGUUGUGAGACCGGACGGUCCUCACUAAGACACAUGAACCAGAGGGUCUUUAUGAGAUAUAGCCAUGGGAGGCUAAUUAUUUUCAUGUGGUAUUUUGGGGAACUCACUAUGCUUCGUGCUUAUCGUGUUGUGUGAUAUGUGUUUCAGGUACUUCUCAGGAUUGCGGGAAGGCGCCGACUUGAUUGUACACACCAGUUAGAUAUAAUGAUUUUGAGGAUUCUGGGAUUUUAAUAAACAUUUGUUGAAUUGUGUUUCGACAACUUAUACAUUUUGUGGUCUUUUUGGAAAUGUGAUAUUGAGUUAUGUGAUUUUAAAAAUGAAAAAUUUAUUUGAAAAUUUACAGUGUUAUAGGAUAGAAGCCCAUGCGUGGAAGCCGACGUGUUAUCCAAAAGACUAGUGAACACCACCCUAAGGGUUGGUGGCUUUGGUGUGGGGUGAGUGCAAAGACUGGCCAAGAUAGCCAAUCAAAAAUAAUCAACAACAGUAACAUGGCUUUCAUCUAUUUUCUUUUUAAUUGUAGUUACAUAUAUGGUCCCUAAAAAUGUAUCUUUGUUUCUCAUUAUACCCUUAUAUUUAUCUUUAAAUUAAAUUAAGCUUUCGGCUCUCUCUCUCUCUCUCUCUCUNNNNNNNNNNNNNNNNNNNNNNNUAUAUAUAUAUUUAUGUUUUAAAUUUAGUUUUUAUUUAAUUUAAUCAUAAAAAAAUAAAAAUAAAAAAAGAUAAUGGUGAAGUGGUGACCAUUUCCUAUGUGUAGUGGGUUGGUGGUGAAGUUGACGUGGAGAAGAGGUGGCACCACUUUUUCGGUGGGUUGGUUGUGACCACUCCCCACAGCCUUAAUGUGUAUGUUUUUUUACACACACUUUCCCAAGCAGUAUGUACAAGAUCAUACACAUUAUGUUUUUUAAAACUUAUUUCAAAGUGCUAUUAACAAGAAUCUAAGGAUCUGAUACCAUUGUUGGAUAAUAAGGUGUUCUUCUUCUUCAUAAGAAAAUAGUUAAUUAAAAAGAAAACAAAUAAGCAUUUAAGUCAAGAACGUAUAUAAUUAAACAUUAGACCAUGAUUAUUUCUAUUAAUAGAAACCCUAACCCUAAAAAGAGGUUUACGAAAUGCCUUUAAGAAAUGUGAAUAAGAUUGAGGAACUCAAACAAGAGUCCUUUGAUAGGAUCAUAACCCUUAACCACUAAACAAGCAAGAACGCUAGCUUUGGAGACUUGAGAAUUUUGACCACCAAGAAACAUGUGUUUUCUUUUCUUCCGGUUGUUGUUGCCCAAAGAUGAGGAGAGCAAAAGGGGUGGAUGACUUUAUGGUUUUGAAUAGACCCUUGAAACCCUUAUGCUUGCUCCUUUUAUAUAGUUGGUGGGAAUAUUAUCAUUUCUAAAUUUGAAUCAAGGAUAAAUUAUCUUAUUCAUUAGUAAUUAUACUUUAGAAUUAACUAUUAUGUAUUCAACUAAUUUAUAUAAAUCUUCUAAGCAUAAUUAUUUAGUUUCCACCAAUUAAUUUCUAAAUAUUAAUUAACAAUUUAAAAAAUCGUAAUUAAUUACAAUAACUUCCAAUUAUUUAUAGACACUCAUUAAAUAAUAAAUUAAUUCCCUCUUAAUUUAUUUGUUAAUGUUUUUAUCUUGGGUCAAGUGGGUAACCCAUAUAGGCUCAUGUAAUUAAUUUGGAUACCAAUAUGUUGUGUAAUGGCCAUAUCUCCAAGAAUAUAAGAGUCCAAAAAAUAAAAUGAGAAGAUUACCCCAAUAAUAUAUAAAAAUAAAAAGAACCAUCAGUUAUCCUUUAUACAAUAGAAAUAAGAAACAUGAAAAGAAAAAUAUUAAAGCCACAACGCUCUUAUCACCCUCUUCGGGCGACAAAAAAUUGUACUUUUUUUUACGUUUCCAGUAUAUAACCCUUCGAGCUCUUUUUUCAAGGAUAGGAUGAACCACAAGGAUGAUGUGGAAAAGAAAUAUUUUUAACAAAAAGAUUGAUGAAGUGAAGUGCAUCAUUUAGGAACUUAUUGAAAUGGAAUGGUUGUGGAUGAACAACUUUUCAAACAUCCCCUAGAGGAACCUUCUUAAUUAAACUCGUACUCAAAAAACCUAUAUAAAUAAAUAUGAUGUUGUUAUGGAUGUGUCAUGUAUUUCAAGAUUUGUAAUAAUGUUGGGAAUGUUUCAUGAUAUCGAAAAAGAAAUAAAAAUAUACUAACAUGGUUGUAUCUUGCAAACAACAAAGGUAUGGGCGUCUAAUAAUUAGUUGGGGGUGGAGGAGAACCAUAGAUGUAUACGGGCGGAAGAGGUGAUUUUACUGGUGGAGGGGGAGAUAUGUAGUGGUAAGGAGGUGGUGGCGACUUAACCGGUGGUGGGGGUGAUGUGUAAUAGUAUGGAGGUGGUGGAGAUUUCACAGGUGGUGGAGGUGAUGUGUAGUGGUAGGGUGGCGGUGAGGACUUAGCUGGUGGUGGGGGAGAGGUAUAGUGGUAAGGUGGAGGUGGCGAUUUAACUGGUGGUGGAGGUGAUGUAUAGUGGUAUGGUGGUGGUGGGGACUUAACAGGUGGUGGUGGAGAGGUGUAGUGGUAUGGAGGUGGUGGAGAUUUCACAGGGGGUGGGGGUGAUGUGUAGUGGUAUGGUGGUGGAGGGGAUUUUACCGAUGGAGGAGGUGAACUGUAGUGGUACGGUGGGGGUGGAGAUUUCAUUGGUGGUGGUGGUGAUGUAUAAUGGUAAGGCGGUGGAGGGGAUUUUACCGAUGGAGGAGGUGAACUGUAGUGGUACGGUGGGGGUGGAGAUUUCAUUGGUGGUGGUGGUGAUGUAUAAUGGUAAGGCGGUGGAGGGGAUUUUACAGGUGGGGGAGGUGAAGUGUAAUGGUAUGGUGGCGGUGGAUAUUUCACGGGUGGAGGUGGUGAAGUGUAGUGAUAUGGUGGUGGUGGGGACUUAACAGGUGGUGGUGGAGAGGCGUAGUGGUAUGGAGGUGGUGGAGAUUUCACAGGGGGUGGGGGUGAUGUGUAGUGGUAUGGUGGUGGAGGGGAUUUUACCGAUGGAGGAGGUGAACUGUAGUGGUACGGUGGGGGUGGAGAUUUCAUUGGUGGUGGUGGUGAUGUAUAAUGGUAAGGCGGUGGAGGGGAUUUUACAGGUGGGGGAGGUGAAGUGUAAUGGUAUGGUGGCGGUGGAUAUUUCACGGGUGGAGGUGGUGAAGUGUAGUGAUAUGGUGGGGGAGGCGAUUUCACUGGUGGUGGAGGUGAUGUAUAGUGGUAUGGAGGAGGUGGAGACUUAACAGGAGGUGGAGGCGAUGUGUAAUGGUAUGGCGGGGGCGGAGAUUUCACUGGUGGUGGAGGUGAUGUGUAGUGAUAAGGUGGGGGUGGUGACUUCACCGGUGGUGGAGGUGAUGUGUAGUGAUAAGGUGGGGGUGGUGACUUCACCGGUGGUGGUGGUGAAGUGUAAUGGUAUGGUGGUGGUGGAGAUUUCACUGGUGGUGGUGGUGAAGUAUAAUGGUAAGGUGGGGGUGGAGAUUUAACUGGUGGUGGAGGUGAUUUGUAGUAGUAUGGGGAAGGUGGUGAUUUCUUAGGUUGUGGGGGUGAUGUGUAGUGGUACUUGGGAGGAGUCUUCACUGGUGGUGGAGGGGAAGUGUAGUGGUAUGGUGGUGGUGGAGAUUUAACCGGUGGGGGAGGAGAUGUGUAAUGGUAUGGGGGAGGUGUUGAUUUCUUUGGUGGUGGGGGUGAUGUGUAGUGGUAUGGAGGAGGUGGUGAUUUCUUAGGGGGUGGGGGUGAAGUGUAGUGAUAUAUCGGAGGAGACUUAACGGGUGGAGGGGGAGACUUGUACAAGUAAGUGGGUGGCGGUGGUGGUGGAGAUUUGUAAUAAUAUGGAGAAGGAGUGGGCUCUGGUUUUGGCUUUGGCUUCUCACAAAGCGUAGAAGGAGUCUUAGGAGCAUAUGCAAAUGGUUCGGCCUCAAGGACAACCUCAUAAGCAUUUUUGGAUUUGACCUUUAGCACGGCACCCUUCAAACCACCAUGAAGAUUUGUUGGAAUAUUACAUUUGGUUCCUGUUGAUGCCAUAUGAAGCUUAGCGGUACAAGCUUUUGCUCCUCCAUACUUGGAAUAGUCUAAACCGUCAACCGUAAUUGCAUAUUUUCCAUUGAUCUUAGUCUUUCCAUAUGCAAAAAUUUCUUUCUGGCCAAUAGCCUUGCAAGUAAUUUCGACAACAGCACCUUUUUCAACACAAAUAAAAAAAAGUCAACUUCAUGUAUAUUUUUUGGUCCACCUUUUGUAAUAUACCGGUUACUACAAAAUUAAAACAUGUUAUGCUAUNACACCUUUUUCAACACAAAUAAAAAAAAGACAACUUCAUUUAUAUUUUUUGGUCCACCUUUUGUAAUAUACCGGUUACUACAAAAUUAAAACAUGUUAUGCUAUGCAUGAUAUGAUUUCGGGUAUAAAUACUUAAAUUAAAUAAAUAUUAUUAACUCUUAUACAAAAUAAUCAUAAAUAUAUAACUUAUAAUGUAGCCUUUCAUACAAUGAAUAUGUUGAAACCUUAGCAUGGUAUCUUUAUUUAUUUAUUUAUUUUUUUGAAGUAUUAUAAUUUAUAUGGUAAUGGGAUAAUAAGUAAUCAAUAUAUGAUUAUAUGUCUUAACAAGUUAACUCAAAAUUGAAAUUUUAGAAAAUUAAAGUUUCAUUUUCUCGGAAAUAUACAUAUCUUUCAUUUUGAUGUUUUUUUUUUUUUUAUAUAUUUUAAAAUGCAAGAUAGUAAACGAAUAAAACCAAAAGAUAAGAUACAUAUUUUCUGAACAUUAAUUGUCUAUACGUUUAAGUGUAUCGUUAGGUAAAAGAGAUGUGGAAAACCAGAAACAUAGAACAUGGGUCAACCAUCAAAGAACAUGCAUACACAUCAAGUCAUAUAUAUAAAACAGUUAAGGUAGUGCGAGAAACUAAAGUUUAUACCUUUGAGGUGAUGCUUGGCGUGUGAUUGGAUUGGGUAUUUCCAGUCAUAGCAGCUGUAGCAGUAAACUUUGCCCACGACCUUUACGAUGAGUUUCCUGUGGUGAGGGUAAGGUACGGGGUAGUAGGAUUUUGGUGGUGGUGGAGAACUAUAGUAAUAGUGUGGGGGAGACUUUGUUGGUGGCGGUGGGGAUUUGUAGUAGUAAGGUGGUGGUGGAGAAUGCACCGGUGGAGGUGGAGACUUGUAGUAGUAUGGUGGUGGUGGAGAUUUAACUGGCGGUGGUGGAGACUUGUACAAAUAUGGUGGUGGUGGGGAAUGCACCGGUGGUGGUGGAGAUUUGUACAAAUAUGGCGGUGGUGGUGAAUGCACCGGUGGUGGUGGAGACUUGUACAGAUAUGGUGGUGGUGGUGAUUUAACUGGAGGUGGUGGAGACUUGUACAAAUAUGGCGGUGGUGGUGAAUGCACCGGUGGUGGUGGGGACUUGUAAAGAUAUGGCGGUGGUGGUGAAGAAUAGAUAUAAGGAUCAGCCGAGACAGCUAUAAGGUUAGCAACACCAAAGACAGUUAAUGCGAUGACUAUAGGCCAUAAAGGGGCCCUGAACAGGACACCGGUGGUAACUCUCAUGGUUCACCGGUAGUUAGAGAGGAUGGGGUUGAGGGAGGGAGGUUAUGUUUUUGGAUGUAAAGCUGAGAGGUAUAAAUAGCAACUAACACCAAAAGAAUAUGUCAGUAAUUUGUAUAUUAAAACACUUGUCAGCGCUUCCAAGGCAACUAGGCCACAUUCUUCUUUUUUUAAGCGCUCGUUUUCAAGUGUUACUCGGACAAUUAUUUGGGUUGACAUUAAAUAUAUUUUAUCUCAAGCUUAGCUUUGAACUAUUCAAUAAACGAGCUUUAUAUAUUUGACUUGUUUUCAUUUCAAUAUGGAGUCACUGCGAAUCAGAAUACACACACCUUAAUGUAGCUCUGUUGGCUUACCUCUAGGUUAGUGGAGUCAAAAGAUAGACCAUGAUUUGAUUUUACAUUGUUUUAAAAAUAAUAUUUAAGGCAUUUAAGGAUUGAGACUACUGUGAAGGUUUGAUCUUCAUAAAGAUACAAAUACCAGAAAAUUUCGAAGGAUAUUGUUUCUGUGUCUAUAUUAAGUAAUUAUCAUAAUUCUUUUGUCUGUUUGCGUUUGUACUGGUGCGUUUAUUUAUAAAUUGAACUUUAUUAAGUGCAUAUACUUUAAAUUGAAAAGGCAUUGUUUGUAUUUAUCAACAUAAACUUACAAACUCGAUUGCUAACAUUCUUACUGUUUACUGUAAUGUUUCUAUUGAAUCUUACAAUCAGAUCUGAAAGUUAAUGAUAAAACCAACUCUAAAACAAAAAAAUGAAAUUAAUGAUUAAUGAAUAAAUAAAUUACCAGUUGCUUAUUUCUCUAAUUCUCUUAGCUAGUGAAUAGUAGACUAAGGCUUAGAGCUAUCCUGGGACUCUUUUCUAAUUUCAACGAGGUUUCUUUUAUAAUUUAGUAGUUUACCCUUCAGUAAUAUAUCAUAUGUUAAAAAAGUUCCAAAAUGUAUAUGAUACAUUUUAUCACGUGGUAAAACUCCAAAACAAAAACGGUAUAAAACAUAUACAUUAGAAAAGUAGGAAAUAAAUAACGUUGUUUCACAUGUCAAAUAUAUAUUUAUAAUAUUAUCUUUCACAUAUAUUUGGAUGCUAAUUAAACAUAAGAAAACUUUUUAAGCUUUAAACGUUAUGAUGCACUGCUGAUAAUACAUCCUUACGGAGACUCCUAUUUUUACUUAUUUAGUUCAAAAGCCUCCUUAUGAUUUAUUCAUUGUUUAUCAUGUAAUCCAAAACAAACACACGUCCUUAUCCUGAUUUCAUUAAUUGUUUAUCAUGUAAUCCUCAUGCCACCUAGGCGACACCGAUACCCGGUUUGUGUGUCGCGUCCAUCCGGGUUCAGGUGCAACUUCACUUGACCUGGACAUAACAUUCCUCUCCACUUCAGAAAGCACCUUGUCCUCAAGGUGGUAAUCCGGAUAAUUAACAACGGUGUUCCCUUCGGCAAUAAUGGUUCCUUAAAAUGGUUGUGGCAGGCGACCCCUCCGGUGAUCGUUGAAGCCAGAAAACAACAACAAAUUGCCGGUGGUUUUUUACAUCAAAUAGAAUUUUUUUACUUUUUUUCAAAAGAAGCGAAAUAUUCAACGGAUUAAUAGUGAAAUGGGUUAAUAUAUGAAUGGGAGAUGGUCAUGGGAGACAUAAUUUCAGUAAGAAAAAAGAGUCAAAAAUCUUAAGUUUACAAAAAGGGUGCAAAUGUGUUUAAUCAAGACCAUCUCAACAAUUUUAUAAAAUAAAUUAAAAUUUUUUUGUAGUAUUAUAUAUUAGCAAUAAUAUUAGAACUAAUAUUAGAGAUAAUAGAUAAACAAAGAAUACGAUUCAAGGGAAACAAAUCUUAUAUGGUAUCAACAAGGAUCGCUUAACCCUAACCGAAAUCCCCCAUUUUCUUCGUCUUUUCAUACUGUUCUUGCUCAUGGCAUCUGCCGAAUCCAACCUCCCUCUAGCAACUAUUCUACAUCUUCUCACCAUCAAGUUAACAUCUUCAAAUUACCUGCUUUGGAAGAAUAAGGUAUGACCUUUAUUAUCUUAUCAGAACUUGCUUGGCUAUGUCGAUGGUUCUUUUCCUUCUCCACCUGCCACUACUAUAGUUGAAGGAAAGUCUUCUCUAAACCCAAAAUAUGGGUCAAUCCAGAUCAAUGAGCUCUAUUAAUUAUAAAGUCCUCUCUCUCAGAAGAAGCCAUAGAAGCUCUCAACCUCACUACCACCCAUGUUAUUUGGCAAUUGCAUGUAAAUGCUUACAACCAUGAUUCCAUCGAGCGUGCUCACACACUUAGUGACUCUCUCGGACAAAUGACCAAAGGUAAUUCUUGUAUUUCUGCUUUUGGUCGAAAAUUUAAAGCUGUGUGUGAUAAAUUGGUUGUUGUUGGUCACCAGGUUGAAGACAUGGACAAAGUACAUCGGUUCUUAUGUGAACUUGGUUAUGCCUUCGAGUUAUUCUCCACUGCUCAUCGAGCAGUCACACCAUGUCCCCUUUUUCGUACUCUUCUCUCGCGUGCAGAAAGUCACGAGCGCUUCCUCAAAUUGAUCGAAAAUCAUGCCUCAAUUGCUAUUGCUGCCUUCACAGCUCAAACUCAACCCUCAUGUAAGGGCUCGUCAAACACUAGCGACCGAGGUUCUCAGUCACGUGAUGUAUUUUCUGGCCGGGGGGGUGAAGGGGGGCGUGGCAGACGUCCUCCUCAUUGUCAACUGUGUCGCAAUAACGAACACUAUGCCUCUUGAUGUACUGAUCUACCAACGUUUCAGCAAAGUUCAACUGUUGAUGCAAACCUUGUUCAUGCUUUUCAAAACAAGUGCAAUACUGCUAGUUCAAAUUUGUAAGUUGAUUCAGGUGCCUCAUCUCACAUACACAUCUUGAUCACUCAUUCUCAUAUGCUGGCAACGAUCAAGUGGUUGUUGGAAAUGGUAAUCUUUUACACAUAACGGGCAUUGGUACUUCUCAUGUCUCCAGAAAUGUCAAAUUAUUUGUGUUGCGUUUUAUUCUAAAGUUAGUUUCAAAGACAUGAUAUUUGGCAACGGAAGACUUAUGAAACAUCCCAACAUUCAAGACCAAAAAUUUUAUUUUUAAUUUAAUAAUUCAUAAAACAGAUUAUGGAAAACAUCAUCGAGUUAUCUCAUUUCAUAAAAACCAUAGAUCAUAUGUCUCAAAAACAUGUCAUAAGAUAAUAAUAAUAAUAAUGUCAGAGUACAAAUCCCAAGAACAUCAUAGUGCGGAAAAUCGUGGUGUGAUGUGCUGCUACCAUGCCAGCUCCUUUCUCUUCGAAGAGGAAGGACCUGAAACAAAAACUGAUAAACCGUAAGCACAAAGCUUAGUGAGUUCUCCCAUCAUACCACGUACCAUACAAUAAACAUAUGGUCUAACAUGUUCGGGUACUGAACUGCCCCUUCGGUCCCUUUCAACCGAUAACUGCCUAGCAUAUCAGGGGUGUUGGCAUACCCCAUCGGUCCUUUCGACCGGUAGCUCGCCUGGCAUAUCAGGCUGCUGGCCUACCCCUUUGGUCAUUUUGACCGGUACCUCACCUAGAAAAUCAGGGUGUUCGUCUACUCCUUCGGUCCUCCCGACUGGUAUCGGGGAGUAUUUCACCCCUAUUUCUACCAUAUAACAUCCUAGUACAUAAACACAUAAGUCAUAUACUACCUAGCAUAUCAGGGUGUUGGCAUACCCCUUCGGUCCUUUCGACAGAUACUGGGGCUAUCCUACCCCUCCUACCACUAUCACAUAAUAUCAUAGCAUACUAGCACAUAAAGCAUAACAGAUAGUGGCAUACCGAAUAAUUUUCACAAAGAGAGUCAUCUCUACUAUAACUCUUACUAGUGGGUUGGCAUUGGUACCUUUGACCCACUUUUAUUGGAAGGUAACUCACCUCAAUUUCUUGAAGUAGCUGAACUGUCCUCGGCUCUAGAAUAAACUCCUCUCAAAAUCCUACACAUAAAAAUCUCCUAGUCAGUGUCAACAUUCUGGUUGACUCAACUCGCCGAGUUGGUCCAUUAACUCGUCAAGUUCCAUGAUCCAUAAAACCUUGAAAACCUUGAUCCAACUCGUUGAGUUCUUUCAUGAACUCUUCGAGUUCCCCUCAUAAUAGAGUCGGGAUAUUACAAUCACAACUCGCCGAGUUCCUCUUUGAACUCGUCGAGUUCUUCAAUUUUCAAAACCCAAAAACUAUGGCCAACUAGUUGAGUCAUCUCCUAGACUCGACGAGUUUGCUCAGUAACAGAAAAGGUGGGGGACCACGAUCCAACUUGCCGAGUUGGAUGAACAACUCAUCGAGUCCCCUUUAGUCUAAAUCCAUUCAGUCACAUCCAAUCGAGUUCAAUUCCUCCAAACCAUAGAUCUGGUCCCCUAGGACUAAGUUACCACGUAAAGUUGCUAACUUUACAUUCAUGCAUGGUGUCAUGAAGCUAGAAACACCAAAACUAAGCUAUAUAAGAGGUUUAGGGAAUGAGGAAUGGCCAAGGCUGGAUAAACCUGGCAACUUUAAGCCUCAUAAGCUCAUGAGUGUCUAGAUUUGAAGUCACAACUUCAUUAUACACUCAAAUCCCGAAAAUGACUUCAAUAUGGCCCAAAAGUGACAACAUACUACCCUAAGUCAAGAUCUAAGUAAUAGAAAGCCAAGGUAUCAACUUUAAACCUCAAAUGAGUCAGAAAUGCCGCUCAAACUCCAGAUCUACUAUCUUCGUCUUGAACCCCCAAGCUUCUCCUUCCUUCUCAAACUUCAAGAUCACAAAGAACACACAACAAUGGCUCAAAAACACUUACAAGUGGAUUACGGUUUCGUGGCUAGGAUUUGGGGUUAUGGAGGCUGCAAAUGAGUCCAACCUUUGGAGGUUAAGGUGUUUAAAUAGGGUGCAAAACACUGAAAAUUAGGGUUUCACUCUGGCAGCCCAACUCGUCAAGUUGAGGCUCUCAACUCGUCGAGUAGACUUCAAGUCCCACGUCCAAAUCCAUUCCUACUCGACAAGUUUGGGGCCUCUAACUCGUCGAGUCCCUUUGAAAAAAUGAAUAAUUAGAUUUAAAAGUACAUACCAUGAUCCGGGAGUUACAAAUUGAUCAUUUUUUUAAUAACAUAAAACAUGUUUAUAACCCACCAUGGAUCAUCGUGCAAGUUGUAGAACGAUUUAAACAAGCAACAAAGAAGAGAUGAAGAAAUCACAAGCUUUCUAGUUCUUUGGAUCCUCUUCGGAGUCUUGGAAGUUGAUGAAGAAUGAUGAACCCUAGAGACACCAACAAGUUGUCAAUUUGAUUUAUGAUGCUAGUCUUGUAAGAAAACUCUUAAUCUCUUAGCUUGAAGUUCAUAACAAAUAUGAACUUCAAGAGAGCAUAAAAAUAAGAAAUUAUUCUUCAACUUCAAACCCAAAACUAGAGAGAAUGGGGAGAGACUAAGAAGUUCGGGAUUUUAGCAUGCAUGAGUGCAAGUGCAAAAUAAAAGCCUUCUUACUUGUCAUAAAGAUGAAACAAUGUGCAUAAGUCCUUAACCAUUUAAGCACUUAUGUCCCCUAGGGCUAGUUGUCUCCCAUGCCUUAAAGAUAACCCAUACUUAUAUAUAAACUAAUUAAAGAGGCCAUGCUUUGACUCGCUCCUCACAGCCUACGGUUUUAGCUGGGAAGAAAAAUAAACACCCCUUUAAAUUAAUAAACUAGCUUUACUAGUUUAUAGAGUAUUGAUUUUAUAAACUCUCUUUUAUAAAAUAGAAACCUUAUCCUUAUGGUAAAAAUUAAGAGUCUUUAUGGUGUAAAAAGUCGUGCAAGACCUAUUAAUUCAUACCAUAUGAAUUAUGUAAUAUUACUUGCUAAUGAAAAUUAUUAUUUCCUAGAAAUAAAUAAUUUCCAAUUUAAUUAUAAGUGUUUAUUGAGUAUUUAUUAAUAUUAAUUUCUAAUAAAUAAUCAAUUGUAUCAAGUUGUUAGUGUCACCCUUUGGUAUCAUUUGUUAAUUAGAAAUGUGUAACAGCCCGUUAUUUCAAGUCAAUAAAACUCUAAACUACAACUAUGUUCAAGUAAAUUCACAAGCUAACUUGCGCCAUAGGGACUUUUAAUGCCUUGAGUGCAUGUUCAUUUAACUUAUAUACAAGUUUAUGUGGAAACCCAUGUUGAAGUAGAAUAGUAUAAGUUUAAUAAUUAACAUAUAAUCACACUAGAUCAAACCAAGCUUACACUAGUUCAAAUAAAGGGGCCAUACUUAACUUAAUUUAAGGAUAUUAAGGGUAUAAAUGUGUUUUCGGGUUUGGGAAUUUAAUCCCAAAACUCAAACCGUAAACACUUGAUUUAAGGUAAAGCAAAUCCGAAAACCCCUAAAGUAGUUGCAAAUCUGAAAACACCCCUAUACUAUUAAGCCUUGACCAUGAACCCUUUUCAUCUCGACUCAAAUCCGAAAACCCUUUUUCCCUUUGACCCAAAUCCGUAAACACUUCUUCCCCUUGACUAUAAGGGGCGAAAACUCAAUAAGGUCCCAAUAUAGAACCGAAAACACAACCCCAUGGACCAUUAUGAACGGUAAAGCACCCCUACAUAUAUUUGUUCGUCCAUGAACCAAUUCAUUUUCUCAACUUUCAUCUGAAAACACUUCCAUUUUGCUCUCAAAUACCAUCAGAAAACACUCUCAAUCUUCAUAGAUUUUGCCUAGAAUCUUCAAAUCUUCAACCAAUUCCUCAAGAACAUUCAAACCCACCUUCAAAUCUUCAUAUGAUCUUCAAAUCUUCAUAUGAUAUUCAAAUCUUCAUAAUAUUCCCAAGAACACCAAGAUCCAACCAAAAACACCACAACCCUAACCGAAAACUCCAAUUGCCAAGUGAAAACACCUUGCAUCAUUUGGAAUUAUUUCCUAAUAAUUUUGUAAGCUCUCCCAUUACAUAAUUAAUUUAUUAUUUAACUAUUAUUUAUAUUAAUAUCUAAUUAAAUUAAAUACGACGUCAAAAAUAAUUAUUUUAGGAUAAUGUUAUUUGCGCGUACGCUUACCCGAGGAUCGUCUCUACAACUCGCUAUUCAAGCUAACGCACAUUUGAGGUGAGUUCAUACCCCUACAUUUUUAAUGUUUUUAAUGUUUUUAGGGGGGGGGGGAUACAAGUAAAACACAAGGACUUUUGUGUUUAUGCAAACAUUUUAAAAUAAUAUUUAAAACCUUUGCAAUUGGUCCAAACUGGGUAUUUGCUCCAUUUCAUAAAAUUAUUCUUAUAUUUUUAACCCUUUUGUAACAUGUCGAGCAUAAGGGUAUUUUACUCUCAUAUAAUUAAAUUGCAAACAUUUUCAGUACAUUACAGAACAUUAUAGUUAAACUAUAAUCGGUAUCCUUUCAGAAUCACUACACCAUUUUACUAAGCACAAUACACAACACAAGAACAUUUAUUCAAACUGUAAUAGGUAUAGUUUGGGAAACACUACUCUAAUACAUUGAACAUAUGUAAAUACAAUAUUUUAUCAAUGUAAUGGCUUUGUUUGCUUUGCUUACUAUUAUACAAUUGUUGUGAUACUAUACAUGUCGUCCUCCGCCUGCGAACGUUUCCGCUGUUCCGGUUUGGGGGUGUGACAGAUUAGUAUCAGAGCAUUGUUUAUAUUGAGCUAUGUAUAUCAAACCUAACAACAUAUACAACUAUAAACACCAUGGGGCCGAAACGCUCUGAACUAAAAGUAUACUUUUAAAAUAUAAGUAUUUUAUAAGAAGUAUACAAGUAUACAUACACACUAGAAGCAGUAUCACAGUAAGAACUACAUAAAAGUAUUUCAGAUGAGUUGGACACUACGAUUAAAUCUGAAUAGUUAUGUAAUCAUAUAUGGAAUAAAUAUAACCUGAUUAACUAGAUUUAUUUGAGAUAAGACCAACAUGUGUUUGGGAGUGAUUGUGGGGUAGCAGCAAGUCUAAAACUUACCAAACUCUAUACAAAGGAAUCAAUAGAACCAAACAGACUGUUAAAAUACUAUAGGAGUAUUUUAUGACACUAUAACAUUAUACAGAUUCAUUACAAGACUAAUUCUCACAAUUGAAAAUAUGCCAUUAAUUGCUUAUUUUAGUAAAACUCUAUUGUCGGUCGCUAAUUUAGCCCAAUAACGUCGGGAUAUGAUGCGUUUAUGUCACACUCCAAAACCGGAAUGGUGGAAACGUUCUGGGGUGGAUGACGUCAUGUCAAGUAUCACAACAUAUACAGUAUAGUAAUCAAAGUACAACAACCAUUGCAUUAAUAGUAAUAGUUUUACAUAGUUUACAUUGCAUAGAAACAUCAAAGUAAUACAAGUAAUAAUAUAGGUGCAGCUUGGUACUAAACUAUCUUCACCAAAAGCUCCUGAGAUAUUCCUGUCUAUUGCUGACCUGAGAAUACAAGUAAUUUGAAAGCGAGUAUCAGCAUUUUUAUAAAUGUUGGUGAGUUCAUAAGUAUUUAGUGUCAUUUUAUUCAAAUAACUUUAUAAAAAGUAGUAGUUUAGAAUCAACAGUGUAUUAGAAUCCUUUCCAGAAAAUCCUAUAUUUUCUAAAUAAAAGUAGUCUUCUACCAAGACCAGACAGUGUUAUGUUUAAAGAGAAUUUCCGUGAAAUAUUAUCAUUACCAAAAUACGGUAUUUGACUUUAAAGAAAGUGAGAGAUUAUUACUAGUAAAAGUACUAAGGGAAAAUAACAUAUGCCUCAGCAGAAGAUACUGCUGACUAAGGCAAAGAAAUCAUAGACUCCAGGAGAGUAUCGAAUGAACUACAUGCCUGGCUCAGUCUAACGAAAGGAGACACAGACCCCAGACGGUAUCAAAUGUAUGAUAUGGCUAGCAAGGUCUAAAACAAAGAAACACAGACCCCAGAUAGUAUCAAAUGAAAGAUACAGCUAGCAAGGUCUAAAAAAGAGUAAUUCUAAGAGUGUGUUUCCAAUAUACAGUGUUAAACAUCGUUACCUUAAGGCCAUGAAUUAUAAGGUAAACAUGGAGAUACUAGUAACCAUACUAAUCGACACUAGAGUACUUGACGCCUUGCAAGCGUCAGUGUGAAUAUGACAUUUGUCACCCCUUGGCUUGGUAGGCCGUGGACUGUAGCUAGCAGUCAGGGUGCGGGGGUGUCAAUCCCGUAUACAUCUAUACACACAAUGUCCGCUCUCCCUACAAGAGACUCUGGUUACCAACUCGACGACGGGGAGAUCCGUGUCUUGAAGAUGUAUCUCGAACAGUGAAUUCUGAUGUAAGUGCUGGACUAGGAAUAGAGACUCAUAACUGAACCGAUCGAUGUAAACCUAUAUGUCUAUACAUGUAUACAUAAUAUACAACUAAUGUUCAAACGACCUUCGGAUAGAUAUCUGAUCCCACCAGACCACAUCCCAACGUGGAAAUGGAAAUAGGGCGAACUAGCCUUCCUAAGUCCUUUAAACAUUAUUUAUAUAACUAUACAAGUACAGGCAUACAUUUAACUAAGUAGAAACAUUUAACGAAGUUCAAGUGUUUAACGAAGUAUAAGUGUUUCACGAAGUAGAAGCGUUAGCAAGUAGAAGUGUUUCGCGAAGUAGAAGCGUUAACAAGUAGAAGCGUAUCACGAAGUAGAAGCGUUAAUAAGUAGAAGCGUAUCACGAAGUAAAAGCGUUAACAAAGUAGAAGCGUUAGCAAGUAGAAGUGUUUUGCGAAGUAGAAGCGUAUCAUGAAGUAGAAGCGUUAAUAAGUAGAAGCGUAUCACGAAGUAAAAGCGUUAACAAAGUAGAAGCGUUAGCAAGUAGAAGUGUUUUGCGAAGUAGAAGCGUAUCAUGAAGUAGAAGCGUUAAUAAGUAGAAGCGUAUCACGAAGUAAAAGCGUUAAUAAGUAGAAGCGUAUCACGAAGUAGAAGCGUAUCACGAAGUAAAAGCGUUAAUAAGUAGAAGCGUAUCACGAAGUAAAAGCGUUAACAAAGUAGUAGCAUUUAACUAAGUAGGAGCAUUAACUAAGUAGAAGUAUAACGAAGCAGUAGUAUCUAACAAAGUAGGAGUAUAAAAACAUGGAAGAAAACUUUGAUGAAAACUUUGGAAAACCUUUACACAUAAGAAAAUCACGACUUGGUAUUCUUUUGUAAAAUAAGUUUGAAAACCUUUAGAAAUCCUUUCAAAACCUUUCAUAAACAAGUUUUAAAUGAAACUUUGAUAAAACAUUAUGGGUAAAGAAUACCUUUGUUUAAAAUACUACUGUCACUGAAUCGGAAGAAAAACAUACAGCGCGAGAGUCCAUUUGAGAAAAUAUUUGAACAAGUAAAGACGUUUUGGAAAAAGAAACCCUUUUACAGUAUCAUACUCGGUAAAACAGUUGACAGGGUAAUAAAUCCUUGUGCAUGUGGGUUAUCAAUCACAUGUGAUUGAUAUGAUAACUGGCAUGUUUUAACUUGUAUUCCCCCCCCCCUAAAGCAUGUAAAAACAUUUAAAAGGUUAAUUCAGGGGUAUGAACUCUCCUGUUGUAAGUGGAUCGAACGAAGGUGCCUGCUGGGUGCUCUGUGUCAGGUAAAGACUUGCACACACUUAGUGACCUAUUAACAUAUGAUGACAUACGUUUUAAUACAAUUAGUAAAUAUAAUACUAAUUAAACACAUAUACGCAUCCUAAAGUGCGGAAAACACUUUGGUUAAGUGCUAGGAGUGUCCCGGGUAACAUCCAAGGGUGUGUAUGGCCUAGAUAGGGAGUUUACUCUUCAAGAGUAAACUCUUUAUAGAUCUUACAUCCCUAAGACCAUAUCCCCAUGAUUUUAUGGCCAUAAACUCAUGGUGGGGGUGUUCUAGGAUGUUAAAUGCUCUUAUCUCACUCAUAGAAUUAGGCUAGGUCCAAAUAUAAGGCAUAUGAAUGGGUUUAAGGCAACAAAUGGACCAUUUAAGGAGUUAACGGCCCUAAACAAGGAGUUUACGGCCGUAAAAUCUCACUUGGUCAUUUCCUUCAUACAUCUAAGCUUUAAAUGAUAGAGUAUAAAGUUCUAAGCAUUAUUCCAAGUCAAAUGGGGGUGAUAAGGCAUCAUUUGGCCACCUUUUGGGAGUUUACGGCCCAUGGACCAAUUCUAGGGGGGUUUACAGCCGUAAACUCCUAUUUCAUUGGUUUAAUUGAUGUUUAAUGUGUUUACUAUAAUGGGGGUUGCUUCUAGACAUUUUCCAAGGCCAUAGGAGGUGUUUAAGGGCAUUUCUAACACCUUAAAAGGUGUUCACGGCCUAUGAAGAGGGGUUUACGGUCCUAGAGUGUUCUUGGGCUGUAAACUCAUGUUUACUCUCCAUAUCAUAAGGUUUUGGUGUUCUAAGCUCGAAGGUGUAAGUCCACAAGUCAUAUCUAAGCCCUAGGGGUACAUUAGAGGGGUUUUGGGGCUUAAAAACCCCACUUAAGGGUGUUCACGGUCCAAGAGUGCUCUUGGGCCGUAAACACAUAAUCUUGCCCCUAUUUGACAUCUUAAACACGAAUUUGUAUGUUAAAUAAGCUACACAACAAGUUAGGAUAGAUGACUUACUAGUUUGGGGCUCGGAAUGGGCGUUUUUGGCUCGAAAACAAGUUGUAGAGAAAGAGUGUAGAGAGAGGGUGAAAAGGUUUCUAUGGAGUCCACGCACCCUUAUAUAGGGGUUUGAGUAGAGGCUCAGUGGAAAUCUACCCGAUACUGACGUUAUACGGGGCUUUUGGUCGCACCCGAUUAAGUGGUCGUAUUUUGACUUGGUUGAAACUAAAACUGUUCAAAGGUUUAAUGAGGGUGUUUCUAAUUUGUUUCAACCCUUACCAAAUAAUUAUAAAAUUCCCAAAUUAAUUAACCAGUCCAAAAGGUUAACGAACAGUUUAUUAAAGCGAGGCUUAUUAACGGAAGAAGGGGUGAAAAAUGACGGAAUGAAUUUCGGGUUGUCACAUCAUCCCCCCGUUAGAGGGAAUUUCGUCCCGAAAUUCAAGUUUAGGCAAGGAAGUAAUCAUGAACAAUCGGGUAGAGGUAUGAGGGCACUUCCUAUUUGGUUGGUCAUCACGCUCCCAAGUGAACUCUGGCCUUUUCUUGGCGUUCUAACAAACCUUCACUUACGGGAUGCAGAUUCCGUCUCGUGCAGUUAGCGAUUCCUACUGGUUCGUCUACAAAGUUAGGGUUCCCAAUGGUUUCUAUCAAGACGAGUGCGAUACAAAGAGUGACGUCGGGCACACACUUAUCAAGUCUAAGAAGUGGAUCGAUUCGGGGUGAAACUUAUGGAGUUUCCGAAAGUAGUAGUGGUCUGACGAGGGUUGGACCAAUUUUUGUGAGGAAUCUCGGAUGGUCCUAAGCUAUCGGGAGGGUAGAGCCUUUCAACACUUAGAAUAUAGUGUACUUCUAUGGCGAGAUCAUCACUGGCGUGAUCAGCAUUUUGAGGUUCCAACGUUCUCUCUCAUACUGGAAGUGUAGUCCUUCAGGUUGGUUCUUAAAAGUUCGGGUUGUCCUUGGAUUCGUGUUCCUGUUGAUUGGCUCUCCGAGGUUUUCUAGAUCAUCGGAUGGAUUGCGUGUCUACGGGUAUCUGUUUGUUGCAGAGUGUCUAUCUCAGUCUUGUGCAAAAUGAUCUUGCACUCCUGAUUCUUGAGAUAUUUCUAACGGAAACCCUCAGGGUCGGGUAGAUAGGGUUUCAACAGACGAGUGUUGGACUAUCUCGGGAGGUGGUUCUACUAUUUCUGUGCGAGAUAGUAUUCGUGGAACACCUAAUAGUCCAAUGAAUCUCUAAGACCUGUCCUAUUCUCCAAUGCAUUGGUUUAUUUCAGUUGCAGAAAGCGCGUGCUCUUGUAUAACCCAUCGACUAACACCUAGACUGGUGUCAAGUCUAUAAUCCCUUCGGGAUCUGGGUUAUAAGGCUUAACACAACCUAAUUUCGCACUUUAUUCAUGUAUUCUUGGCUGCAGAGGUUAUCUUGUGGUUCUUGGCAUUCUAGUGUUCACUUCGGAGAAUGCGGUCCAUCGUCUACAGGGCGACGGUGAUUUCCUCCACGCGAGAAGGCAGAGUGUCCUAGGCACUACUUGUCGGUAACGGGGUGGACGAAGUGCCUGAGUAGUGCGAACAUCUUCUGCAACUACUCUUCCGAAGGUUCCGAGUUUUCUCGAUCUAGGUCAAAUCUAGUGAGUAUAGGGUUCCAUCACUCGGAACUUUAAUCUACUCAUCCACUCUUCUCAGAGUUUAACUUAUCGUAGCUUCCAGGGUUCCGGGAUAUCUACUGAGAUGCUUACUGUGACAUCCCCAAAAUCUCGGCCAGAAAAGACUGAUUUUUCAUUUAUGCUUUUAAAUAAUUUCAGAGUAAAUCCUUUUGAUUUGAAAGAGUUGCGGAAUUUGUUCCCAAAAGAAAACAUGAUAAAAUAACAUUUAUCAAAGCAUUUCAUCAAGAGAUGCAUUUUCAUUAUAUAAUCAAAACUCGGGAUGUCAUGUUCCGAUACAGACCAUAAAGCAUAAACGAUAAACAUUACAAGUCAUUCAACAAAUAUAUACAUAUACAUACUUGUAAACAAAACAACAAGAUGAUCCAUCCAUCUUACGCCCUUGUGCCACUUCCUGUAAUACAAAUAAAACUGAGUGGGUCAGGCUUGGGAGCCUGGUGAGCAUAUAGGGUUUUCAACCCACAAUAAAUAAGUUAUAUUUAAUUUCACCAACCAAUCACUAUCCCGAUUACCCAUUCCCGUUAUCCUCACUUUACGUCCCUAAAACAACAACUAUCUCAAGGGACCUAAUCUAGGAUUUUCAUCGGGACGGACAUCACUGCGAAGGGGUUUCCUCAACAAUAGAUAUCCUAAAGGCAACCAUGAGGGGGAUAGAGUACACCGGUGAACACAUCGUUCACAACACCUACAGGUUAUGAACCUGCUAGCGUUCCACUGGACUGUCUAGAAAGAGUCCGUGGUCGUUAUCCAUACUCCGCUGAAUAACUAGAUCAACAACAACAACAACAUCGAGGCCUCUCAUCUGUUUAUUACACACCAACUAUCUACCCAUGUUCUACCCAACAUAUUAGUAGAUAAAAAUAUAUAUUUUCAUACGUAGUUUAAAGAAAACCUGUAUAGCAUGCUUUAAUCAACACAUAUGUCACAUAACAGAUGAGGCACACACACAUAACACAUAUCUCAUAAAGAAAUAAGCAGAUCUAUAAGAUAGAAGAGAGUGAAUACUCAUUCACACAUAACACAACCAAAUAUAUACACAUAGCACGUAUUUUUAUAUAAAAUACUUCGUAUUAUUGUAUUAGAAGAAAUAACUACACACUCACUUGAUCAGAAGACGAUCCGACAGCACUACGGCUUAUAGAAGUAGUAAUCCACAGCAGAUCUGGAAGAUCUCCUCGAAAAUCGAACUUCUCGCGGGCAGAGCUUCGACUCGGGAACCGCGCUUCUCGGGAUCUUCGGGAUCUCGGGACUUGCCUCGGGGCUAGAGUAUGAUACCGGGGCUUCGGGGUAUUUCUGGCACGCAAAACGAUGCAAAACGGGAGAGAGAAGAGAAGAAAUUGGCAAAAUAGCCGGCUGCCUUCGGAUCCCUUUUAUAGAGGCUGGAGCCUCGGAGUACGCGGGGCGUACUGCAGUACGCAGCGCGUACUGCUUCCGAAAUCGUCACUGCAUGCGUCAUCCGAAGUGUCGACACUCUCGGAGUACGCGGGGCGUACGUCGGAUCGGACUGGUGACUCCCCCUUCGGAUAAUGCCGGAUUUUUGAUUUAAAAAUAAAUACAAUUUAUUUAUCAAACUUCGGAAAUUCAUAUCUUCUUCAUACGAACUCCGUUUUCGACGUUCUUUAUAUCCACGGAAAGGUGAGACUACGCUCUACAACUUUCGUUUAGACUCCGUCGGCUAAUUUUGACUUUAUUUUUAUUAUUUAUUUUUAAUAGGCCGCGACAGAAAAACUUCGUUAUAAAUUCAUAACUUCUUCGUUUGACGUCCGUUCUCGCCUAACUUUUUAUCGCUUCGAUACCAACAAUGAGAUCUUCGAUUCUCAUUUAGAUUGCUUCGGCUAAAAACCGCUCGAUCUCAAUUCGAGUAUUUCAGGCUGCACACCGCUAAGUCGAAACUUCGAUAAAUCAUAACUUCCUCAUACGAAGUCAGAUUUGGGCGUUCUAUAUAUAUUCGGAAACCUCGUUUCAACUACUAGAACAUUAACCAAAGAUAUUAAGUUUAUUUUACACUUAAAUUUUGACGCUUAUUUUUAUUCUUAAUUAAUUAGACCACAUAAUUAAGCAAUUAAGCACAAAACACAUAAUACUCAAAUAAUACAUUCUUAUUAUUUCAAAAUGGGUUACAAAGGUCAACCUAGACUAUUACAUUGCUAAAAAUGGCAAGCCCGGACACACAGGCGUUACAAUUCUCUCUACCUUAGAAUGAUUCCGUCCCCGGAAUCACACAUCAACAAACAAAUGCGGAUAACGACCCAUCAUGUCACUCUCCGUCUCCCAACUGAGAUUCGGCCCAUUCGUGUGUUUCCAUCGGACAAACACCAACCCAACCAUCUUGCGUCGCAAUUUCUUAGUCUUUCGGUCAACAAUUUCCUCUGGUUCCUCAAUCAACCUUUUGUUUUCUUCAAUUCUCAAUUCAGAGAUUGGAAUUAUGUCGGGAACUUCCUCCGUGAACUUUCGGCAUACAACACUUCUGUCCAUACAAAGCUUGGUANNNNNNNNNNNNNNNNNNNNNNNNNNNNNNNNNNNNNNNNNNNNNNNNNNNNNNNNNNNNNNNNNNNNNNNNNNNNNNNNNNNNNNNNNNNNNNNNNNNNUUGGCACUAGGUACGGAAACAACUUCAUCUUCUCAGUAAAUGCAACAACAUAGUCAUCUAUGCUCAUCUUCCCCUUCUUUAGGUUUUGAAACUCAUUGUUCAGAUCAAUCAGAUCCAUCUUUGAACAAUAUUGCACCCUUAGUUGUUCCAAGAACUCCUCCCAUGACAUUUUCAGGGCUUCUCCUCGUGGCAUAGUAUCUGCCAACAACUUCCACCAACUCAAGACUCCAGUCUUCAGUUGUCUAACCGCAAAGACGGUCUUCUGUUUGUUGCUACAGUCGCAACUUUCAAAUACCAUCUCCAUUUCGGAGAUCCAAUCCAUUAUCUCAACAGGCUUUGGGCUCCCAGAAAGACUUGGCGGUUUGGCGCCCAAGAAAUUCUUGUACAUACGCCCAUCCUUGUUGUUUCUCCUUUCCGGAUCGUUCCUUCGUUCCCCUUGAGUCCCAACUUGACUCAUCAUGCGACUAUUGUUCCCUUCCUCCGAUUGCUCGGGAAUCAAUUCAGGUUCCUCAAUAGGUAUGAUAGGUUCAUCCCUAUUAUUAUGCAACAUUUGUCGCAUCUCCUCCCUUUGUUCGGCUAGCAUAGCCCGAAUCAUGGCUUGCACCGCAGCCAUUGUUAUUGGUUCUGGUGCUGCUGCUACAACAGGUAUCUGCUCAAUCACUGGCGGUUGAUUCCUGUUUUCAUCCGCGUUUCCAACACCACUCCUCGUUCUCACCAUUUUUUAUCUACACACCGAAUAAUUUCACCUUAUUACUCCAAACGAUUACAUGCUAGUUCUAAUAUCGUAUACAUACGCUUAGAAUCCUAAACACAUAAACCUUCAGAUCCGGUUGGCAACAAACCGUAGAUCCGAACAAAUAAUAUCAUAUAUGGCAACAUAUAACAUUUAGCACAUAAAAGCAUUUUAGGCAACUUUCCUAAAAUAAACUAGUGCUCGUGUCUAAAAUCCAAC